This 72777-nucleotide long non-coding RNA is filed under the name Gossypium raimondii (Peruvian cotton). RNAcentral's name for it is "long non-coding RNA (GRAI_LNC000488)". The record is from RNAcentral. Lineage: Eukaryota; Viridiplantae; Streptophyta; Magnoliopsida; Malvales; Malvaceae.
AUUAUUUUAUAUGCAAAUUAAUUAAUAUUAAUAUGAAAGUAUUUUUUUAUUUUUCAUAUUUUUUAAUAAAAUAAUACUAUAAUAAAAUUUAAAUUUGAACAUAUGCAUAUCCAACACUUUCAACUUUAUCAUUUUAACUAUAAUUUUUGUAUCAAUAACUUUGUCAAUCACCUCUUGUUGGUGGUUGGUCAUUUUUCAUCCUCUUCCUUAGUUAUUUUUUUGCCCUCCUCUCAUUUUAGUAACUCCUUUUGGGGGCUCGUCUAAGCUUUAAUGGCUCGUCUCUAUUUCGGUGUGGGAUUUCUCGAUGCAGAUGUCCUCCGCUUUAGGUGAGAGUUUCUGCUGCAGCUACGAAUGAUGGAUGGGUGGUGGCACUAAAACCCCAGAUGCUACUUUGUUGUUUUGUCUCCAGAUUCAAGAUGUUUGUUGCUUCAAUCCUAUUUGGUGGGUGAUCCGAGUUGGGUGUUGCUAGUGGCUAUUUUCGAUCUUUUCGAGGUGGUUGUGUGGUGUCUCUCGACUGGCAAUUGAGGAUGUUUGGCUCAGUCUUGUGCUCCAUUGUUUUCUCACUCUCUUGUGAGCAAGGUCUUUAGUGAAAAUGGAGGCUCGAUAAUCGAGAUUAUACGCACUAAUUUUUUCUUAGUGGCUGACACCAAAGUAACUAGUGAUGAUUCCUUUUUUUCUUUUUUCUUUUUUUGCUUUUAUGGGGUUUGACCGUUUAUGUUUGGGAUCAUGGUUAUUGGUACAAUUGGCUUUGGCUAUAUGCCAUGGUUGCUCUGUCUGUGAUGAUUGUUGUUCUAUGAAAUGAAACUUCUUGUUGUAUUCUAAUUUUGAUUUUAAUUAUAAAUAUUCAAAGAAAUAAAUAUAUUAAUUUAUUUUUAUAUUAAAUAACAAUAAUAAUAUGUAAAUAUAAAACGAUUAUAUUAAUAGUUUAUAACAAUAAUAUCAAACUAAAAUUUUAUAUAUAAAAUUUCACAAAAUUAAAAUUAAUGUAUAAAAGUACAUAUUAUAUUAAAAUUUAUAUAUAAUUUAACAGCACGUUUGGUUCGUUGUAAUGGAAUAGAGGCGUAAUAGGUAAUUCUUUUGUUUGGUUGAAUGUAAUGGAAUAGAUGCGUAAUGGUAUUCUUGUGUUUGGUUGAAUGGAAUAGAGGUGUAAUAGCAUAAAGAAAAAAGUUAAAAUGACUAGAAUACCCUUAGCAGAAUUUUUUUAAGGUAGAUAAUUAUUGUUAUUGUUAUUAAAUUUUAAUAAGAUUAUUAAUAUAAAUAAUAAAUAAUUUAAUCAUAUUUUAACAUAAUUGUUAUAGAAUAUAAUUUAAUAAAAUAUACAAUUUAAUAAAAUUGUUAAUAAAUAUUCUUAUAUGAAUUUACUAAUAAAAUCAUAAUAUAUAAUACUAAAAUAUAAUUUAAAAUAAUUAUUAUUAAAUAUAAUUUAAUAAUAAUAUAUAAUUUAAUAAAAUUCUUAUUCUUAUAUGAAUUUACUAAAAUCAUCGGUAUACUUUAUACGAUUUAUUNNNNNNNNNNNNNNNNNNNNNNNNNNNNNNNNNNNNNNNNNNNNNNNNNNNNNNNNNNNNNNNNNNNNNNNNNNNNNNNNNNNNNNNNNNNNNNNNNNNNNNNNNNNNNNNNNNNNNNNNNNNNNNNNNNNNNNNNNNNNNNNNNNNNNNNNNNNNNNNNNNNNNNNNNNNNNNNNNNNNNNNNNNNNNNNNNNNNNNNNNNNNNNNNNNNNNNNNNNNNNNNNNNNNNNNNNNNNNNNNNNNNNNNNNNNNNNNNNNNNNNNNNNNNNNNNNNNNNNNNNNNNNNNNNNNNNNNNNNNNNNNNNNNNNNNNNNNNNNNNNNNNNNNCCUAUCCCCUGUGUGCCUUGGCAAGUAAUUCUUUUUUUUCCUCUUUGAAGAUGAGGAACCCCCUUGGUUUUUGUCUGUUUGCGGCUCCGUGGUAGCAACAUCCAUGUCAUCGAAAGAGACAUUAGCAUCACAAUCAUACUAUUUGUUUCUGUCUUCAUUAAUAUCUGCAGAAGGUACAUCCUCAGCAUUUAUUUCUUCAUGAACGUCAGCGGCUGUUUGAGCGUCUUUCUCAGUCGCUCGAUCUUUUGCGUAUAUGGCAGUAAGUUGGUCGUAGUAAGGGAAACUACGAUGUUUGAACUGACCGGCUUCUUUAUGACUCUAUAAAAACGCGGAAAUCAUAUUAGUUANNNNNNNNNNNNNNNNNNNNNNNNNNNNNNNNNNNNNNNNNNNNNNNNNNNNNNNNNNNNNNNNNNNNNNNNNNNNNNNNNNNNNNNNNNNNNNNNNNNNNNNNNNNNNNNNNNNNNNNNNNNNNNNNNNNNNNNNNNNNNNNNNNNNNNNNNNNNNNNNNNNNNNNNNNNNNNNNNNNNNNNNNNNNNNNNNNNNNNNNNNNNNNNNNNNNNNNNNNNNNNNNNNNNNNNNNNNNNNNNNNNNNNNNNNNNNNNNNNNNNNNNNNNNNNNNNNNNNNNNNNNNNNNNNNNNNNNNNNNNNNNNNNNNNNNNNNNNNNNNNNNNNNNNNNNNNNNNNNNNNNNNNNNNNNNNNNNNNNNNNNNNNNNNNNNNNNNNNNNNNNNNNNNNNNNNNNNNNNNNNNNNNNNNNNNNNNNNNNNNNNNNNNNNNNNNNNNNNNNNNNNNNNNNNNNNNNNNNNNNNNNNNNNNNNNNNNNNNNNNNNNNNNNNNNNNNNNNNNNNNNNNNNNNNNNNNNNNNNNNNNNNNNNNNNNNNNNNNNNNNNNNNNNNNNNNNNNNNNNNNNNNNNNNNNNNNNNNNNNNNNNNNNNNNNNNNNNNNNNNNNNNNNNNNNNNNNNNNNNNNNNNNNNNNNNNNNNNNNNNNNNNNNNNNNNNNNNNNNNNNNNNNNNNNNNNNNNNNNNNNNNNNNNNNNNNNNNNNNNNNNNNNNNNNNNNNNNNNNNNNNNNNNNNNNNNNNNNNNNNNNNNNNNNNNNNNNNNNNNNNNNNNNNNNNNNNNNNNNNNNNNNNNNNNNNNNNNNNNNNNNNNNNNNNNNNNNNNNNNNNNNNNNNNNNNNNNNNNNNNNNNNNNNNNNNNNNNNNNNNNNNNNNNNNNNNNNNNNNNNNNNNNNNNNNNNNNNNNNNNNNNNNNNNNNNNNNNNNNNNNNNNNNNNNNNNNNNNNNNNNNNNNNNNNNNNNNNNNNNNNNNNNNNNNNNNNNNNNNNNNNNNNNNNNNNNNNNNNNNNNNNNNNNNNNNNNNNNNNNNNNNNNNNNNNNNNNNNNNNNNNNNNNNNNNNNNNNNNNNNNNNNNNNNNNNNNNNNNNNNNNNNNNNNNNNNNNNNNNNNNNNNNNNNNNNNNNNNNNNNNNNNNNNNNNNNNNNNNNNNNNNNNNNNNNNNNNNNNNNNNNNNNNNNNNNNNNNNNNNNNNNNNNNNNNNNNNNNNNNNNNNNNNNNNNNNNNNNNNNNNNNNNNNNNNNNNNNNNNNNNNNNNNNNNNNNNNNNNNNNNNNNNNNNNNNNNNNNNNNNNNNNNNNNNNNNNNNNNNNNNNNNNNNNNNNNNNNNNNNNNNNNNNNNNNNNNNNNNNNNNNNNNNNNNNNNNNNNNNNNNNNNNNNNNNNNNNNNNNNNNNNNNNNNNNNNNNNNNNNNNNNNNNNNNNNNNNNNNNNNNNNNNNNNNNNNNNNNNNNNNNNNNNNNNNNNNNNNNNNNNNNNNNNNNNNNNNNNNNNNNNNNNNNNNNNNNNNNNNNNNNNNNNNNNNNNNNNNNNNNNNNNNNNNNNNNNNNNNNNNNNNNNNNNNNNNNNNNNNNNNNNNNNNNNNNNNNNNNNNNNNNNNNNNNNNNNNNNNNNNNNNNNNNNNNNNNNNNNNNNNNNNNNNNNNNNNNNNNNNNNNNNNNNNNNNNNNNNNNNNNNNNNNNNNNNNNNNNNNNNNNNNNNNNNNNNNNNNNNNNNNNNNNNNNNNNNNNNNNNNNNNNNNNNNNNNNNNNNNNNNNNNNNNNNNNNNNNNNNNNNNNNNNNNNNNNNNNNNNNNNNNNNNNNNNNNNNNNNNNNNNNNNNNNNNNNNNNNNNNNNNNNNNNNNNNNNNNNNNNNNNNNNNNNNNNNNNNNNNNNNNNNNNNNNNNNNNNNNNNNNNNNNNNNNNNNNNNNNNNNNNNNNNNNNNNNNNNNNNNNNNNNNNNNNNNNNNNNNNNNNNNNNNNNNNNNNNNNNNNNNNNNNNNNNNNNNNNNNNNNNNNNNNNNNNNNNNNNNNNNNNNNNNNNNNNNNNNNNNNNNNNNNNNNNNNNNNNNNNNNNNNNNNNNNNNNNNNNNNNNNNNNNNNNNNNNNNNNNNNNNNNNNNNNNNNNNNNNNNNNNNAAUAACAGUAAACUACAAUUAAAUAAUUUAAUUGCCAAAGAGCUUACAGUGAAUGCGUGAAAAGAAUACGGUACACUGUAGGUGGAGGAAGCAAUCAAACAAGCCGCUUUAGUAGGAAGCAAUAUCACACUAUCAAAGAAAAAUGAACAAUACAAAUUUAGAAUCUUAACGAGUACAUUGCAACAAACAGUAACUUCAACAACACAGAUGUGUAUAAAAAUAAGGUUAUUCAAUAGAAUAGGGUACCAUAAAAGAGACCAACAGGCAAUGAUUAAAUCAAAAACUUACACAUACUUAAACAACUAAUGAUGACUAACUAAUGAGUGUGAUCAGUUAAUUACUAGUUGUGGCUCUCCUUGAAAUAUACAAAGUGAUUAUAUAUAUAUAUAUAUAUGAAACUUAUGACUUGUAAGAAACAAAAAGGCAGGAAAUAGAAGAGGCAUUAUGGUCAAGUUGAAUAAAGUUGGAAUACUGCUUUAUGACAAAGGUGACAAAUAGGUAACUGUGGUAUUAGAAAAUGUAAACUAAUAAUAUAUUAAUGGUAUGGAUGGACUUAUAUAAAAGUCUAUCUAAUUAGCAAAGGUAAUCUACCGUCCUCAUCAAUGUACUUCACCAUUAACACUUUCUAAUCAGCCUAACAUGGUGCACAGUCCACAAUUAUCGUCUGCUUCCAAAUUAAUUCACUGUAAAUUCAGUGUCCAUCUUUUUAUUUAUUUAUUUAGUAUUAAUACUUAUCUCUCAAAAUAAAUAAAGCAAUUUAACAUUUGUAUUGUUUAAAGGUAAGAAACAAAUACAAUUAAAAUAAUGGUAACAAUUAAUAUAUAAUACCCAUUGGUCAAUUUAAGAAAAAAGGGAAAAAUUAUGUAAUAUUAAAAAAUUAAAAUAUUUCAACAAUUUAGAAUAAAUUAAAAAAUAAAUUACUAAUAAAAUAAUAAAAGUUUCCUAUGUUUAAAAAAAUACUAUAAAAAUUCCUAUUUUUAAAAUAAAAAUAAACAUGCUAUAAUAAUAGAAAAACAUUCCUAAAAAAUAAAAAAAAGUAAACAAAUAUUAAAAAUGCUCAAAAUUUCUGCAAAAUCAAAAAUGAGAUAUAAUUAGANNNNNNNNNNNNNNNNNNNNNNNNNNNNNNNNNNNNNNNNNNNNNNNNNNNNNNNNNNNNNNNNNNNNNNNNNNNNNNNNNNNNNNNNNNNNNNNNNNNNAAUCUAAACUCUAUACGCAGUACAUUGCAACAAAGAGUAACUUCAACAACACAGAUGUGUAUAAAAACAAGGCUAUUCAAUAGAAUAGGGUACCAUAAAAGAGACUAACAUGCAUUGAUUAAAUAAAAAACUUACACAUACUUGAACAACUAAUGAUGUAGUUUAACCAAAAUAAAUUGGGAGUAAAAAAGUACAUGGAUACAGCCAUGGGUAAUGUCAAAACUCAAAACAGCACACCAUAUUCCUUUCUUUCCCUUCUUCCUUAACUAGCGGCCCUUAUCUGUCACUUUUCAGGUUUGGUCUUUCCUGCCUACUUCUUUCUUUUUCGAUCCCUUCUUUUUCUUUUUUCUUUUUUCUUUUUUUGAGGUUUUUUUAUAUGUUUUGGGUUCUUUUCUAGAAAUAGGGUACCACAAAAGAUACUAACAGGCAAAAAAAGGUGCCAAAUUAUCUAGAAAUAGUACAAUACGCCAUGUAAAUAUUCUCCGAAUGGUUACUGCUUGCUUAAGACUAAAUAAGGUUGAUUCAGCUGGAUAAUAGAUAGCUAAUAACUAAAUAUGUAAAACAAAAUUACAUCUCUUCAAAUCAUUCCAAUUAAUAAACAACAAUACAAUUUCAAUCAUUGAAUGAGGAACAAAAUGAGCACCAUCAUUAAGCAACAAAAUCCAGAAGGUAAACAAAAUGAGGAGCAAAAUGAGCACCAUAAUUUGCAGCGUACGGAACAAAAUGAGGAGCAACAAAACAGAGAAACAUUAGAUUCCUAAUAUGCAAAUCCAGAAGGUAAAUAAAGAGCAUCAUCAUUUAAGGAUUUCCAAUUUACCUUGAUUGAAUUGGAAAGCUUUUCUUGAGGGUUUAUUGGGAGAUACUUGGGAUUGAUAUCUACUCACUGCAUUUGAAGAACACAAGUCUAUUAUGGUCGACAAAACUGUACAUAUAUAAUAUACCUAAAUGAAAUUGAAAUAGGCUGAAAAAAUGAUACAUUAUUAAAACGGCAACAUUGUUUAAGAUACAGACCCAAAUGCUCUUCAAUCCUCCGUCAACAUUAACAAGUUCAAAGAAGAAAGAUGAUUAAAGCCUAAACUAGCACAACUAGAACAUACGAUACAUUAAACAGGUGGAAAACAUCACAACUUCAUACAAGCCUUCAGCAAAUUUAAACUGAUUUGAUAUUAACUUAAAAGUUCCUUGAAAUCUUCAAGCUUCGUUUAACUUCCACUAUCCUGUUUAUAAAGGGAGCUUUCCACUUGGUUGCUUAGAAAUACAAUAAUAAUUUAAAUAAUCUAAUUUUUUUUAAUAAGCAGUUCUAAAGAAUUGCUAGAAAACAAGUAUCAAGCCUAAGAACCACAAAAUCUUGCAAAUCUGAAACGAUCCAAGCAAGAAAAAAAUAGCAAACCAGAAAGAGGAAAAAAGAAAAAGAAGCAGAUAUACCAAAACUUUCUAUACUUGCCUGAAUAAAAUAUUUUUUUUUAAAAAAGGAACUACUUCAAAAUCCAAGUGAGUAAUUGAAAGCUUCGAUUGAUCUCAAAACCGUAAAACAGCUCGAGAGUCCAAAUAAUUAAGACUAGUGCAGAAGCAGCAGAUGAAAAUGCUGGAAAAAGCCAAAUUUUCUCUUUUUAAGUUAAAACCUUCAAACAAGCCAAAUGUGUAUACUCAUUCAAAAGAGUAAAAUAAUUGUGUAAGGAUGUGUUUGGUUGCUGAGAAAGCGCAGAGAAAAAAUAAAUAAAUAAAAUACAAAAUUCAGAGGCGUAAGGAGAAGGAUGCAGCUUUUUUGCUUACCUCUACUUUUUUUUCCUGCUUAACACAAAAAUGAAAUUCCUUUUAUUUGGGUUUCAAAUAAAAGAAGAGGAGGAUUAUACAAAAUUAGCUACCAUUGUUCGCAUGCAAUGGCACCGAUGAUCCUUAUGUAACAGCUUGUAAUGAGCCUUUCUGAUUUUUCAAGAUUUGGAAAUAUUUGUCGACAGGAUUUGGAUUUCACAUUCGAGCAAAUAUAAUUAGCACAGAGAAACAGAGAAAUACCAUUCAAUUUCCAUGAAAAUCAAUCAAGAAACCAAUGCAGUUGGUAAUUUCCAUGAAAAGCAAACAUUGUUUUUUACAAGUUUCAAACAAAAAAGGAAUUCAAAACAUACCCAGAAAGGAUGGAGAUCAACGCAACUUUGUCGGAAUGUGGAGAUCAAUAACCUUGACAGAGCCCUAGUUCUUGCUCGAAAACGAUGAGGCCGGAAGAAAUCAGGAGGGAGAGGGUGGAGGUGGAGGUGGCUUUCAGGUUGGGAGGGUAAAACAGGGAAGAAGGAUUCGGUACAACCUAAAACGCAACCAAACUGACCUUUCCAUCCGGAAUGGAAACCAUCAAAUAUGACGAAUAAGGGCGUAAUGUAAUCAGCCCGUAAUAGGGCAUUACGUCCAACCAAACGUCGGAAUAGGUAGGGCCCACCGAAUCAGGCUGAAAUGGUAUUCCUAUUACAUCCAACCAAACGGGGCUGUAAGUUCCGUAAAAUAAUUUUGGAUAAAAAUUUUAAAAUUGUAUUGCCCAAAACUUUCAAAUUCAAACAAUUAAAUUUAGUGGCAAAUUGCCCCUCUUGUAACAAUUUUCUUUUUAAAUGAAAGAACUCUGAACUCCAAAUAACAAAACUAAACGCAGGAAAAUCGUUACAACUUAAAAACUGAAAAUUAAUAAUUCAUAUUUGAAUGAGGGUUGUCGAUGGAUGCUGCUUAAUUCUCGGCAACGUCAGCUCUUGCAUGCCCGAAAUUGUAACUUGCUACAGCCGUAAGCCACGCUCCCUUCUCCACCAUUUCCACUUUCCCUCUUUCUUUCUUCUUUUUUUUUUUUCUCAUUUCGUUCUUUUCCCUCUCUAUAUCGUAUCAAAAAAAAAAAAUCUUAAUCGUCAAUAAUUGUCAGCUCAGGAGCUCAAACCACUGAUUUCACAAAGGAGGUUGAUUACCAGGUAUCAUCAUUUUCUUUUAAGUUUCGCUUAUAUUUUAAAUUCUGUUAUCGAUAAGCCGUUGUUCGAAAACGUCGCUGGUUAUUUAUUUAUUUUUUUAUGUUUGAUUUUUUUUAGGUUUGUCGUACAGCGACGGUCUUGAAAUGUGAUUUUGAGCUCUCUUUUUUUCUUUCCUUUUUUCUUUUUUCGAGUUAGAGAUAGGUUUGCUUAUAUUCUUCCUUUGGAUCAACGGUCUGGAGUUUGUAGAAGAGGAAGGUAUUUGUUAUGAUUAGAUUUCUAACUAAAUUUUGGCAUUGGAUGGAAACUGAUAUUUUGUGAAUAAUUUGUACGUAAUUUUUGUGAAAAGGAUCUGCGAAUUUGCGGUGUUCUUUUUGUCACGGGUACAUAUGUGUUGGAUUUGGUUGAGAAAUUGGGUUGCAAGUUGAAGAUAGAUGUUGGUGAUUUGUGAAAGUAUUACUGUCAAAUUUGAAGUUUAGCGUUUGAGGUGUAGGGAAUCCUAGAUUUUAACCGUGAGGUUCUGAAUGCUAGCUGAUACGAUGAAUGACUUAAUUAUGCAUUAUUGAUUGGUGGAUUGAAGUGAAAAAGAGUGGUCCAAGGAGCUAACACAUUGUUGUUAUGUAAGUAAACAAACCUAGGAACUUGUUUGGAACAUGAUCAGGGAAACGUCUGGCCCAUCUGAUCAAUUAGUACAACAAGAAUAUACAUAUGCUGUUCCUAAUGUUGGAAAGAAUGUAAAUAAUAAUAAGACUAUAUCUGUACAGACAGGUGAGGAAUUCUCCAUGGAGUUUGUUCAGGAGUGUGUUGGCACAAGAGCCAUUGCUAGACCAGAUGCAGCACUGACACAUGAGAAGAGAGUUUGGUUCAAUCAGAACCGCGAGAUGGGGUAUCAGGAUCUUGCCCGAAUUCAGUUGAAAAGAAUGGAUUCGAAGUGUGCUUCUGACAUUUCUGAUUUUGCAUCUCUGAAUGGUUCUUCUAGAGGGAGUGAACAUGGGUCUUGUGUUGAAAAGAUAGGUAGAUACCAGAAGAAAGAUGGUGAAAUUGGACAAGUGACAGGGAAGGCUUAUGGUGAACUGAAUUGUGAUAGGAGCCAUCCAAAUGGUUUUGGACCACCUACUACAGCCAUUUAUGCAUGUGACUCUUCUAGUUCCAACAACUUUAGUGGGCAGGGAGCUACUGAUGGAUCUCAAUCUGGGAAAAUGAAACUUCUGUGCAGCUUUGGUGGAAAAAUAUUGCCUAGGCCAAGUGAUGGUAAACUCAGAUAUGUUGGGGGAGAGACGCACAUUAUUUCCAUUCAGGAUUGUCUUUCUUGGGAAGAGCUUCUGAGGAGAACUUCAAAUUUUUGCAACCAACCUCAUUCAAUCAAGUACCAACUUCCAGGUGAGGAUCUUGAUGCCCUUAUAUCUGUUUCUUCUGAUGAAGACCUUAAGAAUAUGAUAGAGGAAUACCAUGGGCUUGAAAAGCUUAAAGGUUCUAAAAAGCUGAGGAUAUUUUUGAUUCCCUAUGAUGAAUCUGGAAAUGCAUCUUCCCUUGAGGCAAUGACCAUGCACCAGAGCUAUCCUGAUUACCAGUAUGUGGCUGCUGUCAAUGGGACAGUAGAUCCUAGUCCUAGGAAAAUCUCUGGUGAGCUCUGCUUACCUAAUGAAGGAUGUCAAUUGGGACCCAAUUUGAAUCCUAACCCUAGUUUCCCCAAAUGGUGUCCAACUUCAGUAAUCUCUUUGGACACUAUGGGUGGUUUUAAUGCAUUGCAUCCAUCUCAGGUUUUCCUUGAUAUCCAAAAUACAACCAGAUCCCCAUCUACUCCUAUUUCUCCACUACCUUUCCAGCAUGAAGAAUGCAAUGUUUGUGCACAAUCAAUGUCUAAUAACUCCAGCUCUGAAUACAACUAUUCCUUCAAUACAGCACACUUGAAUCCUGAGAUCCGCAGCACUAUUAAUCCUAACUAUAAAGAUGCCCUACAGGUUCCACCUGCUUUGAUGAAUCAAAGUCACCCUUGCAUAAGGGUUGCUGCCAACCACACAUGCCAAGCUUAUGGAGGGCAGCUACUAAGCCCUGAUCCCAGCAAAGAUUCCGUAUUUUUUGUAGUUUUCAACAAAAGCAAUGGUGAUUACAAUGGCAUUUCACAUGAAAGGUUUAUGCACAAAGAAAGAUCAUUCCUUUCUGAAAAGCCCAUCUCAAAUGCUGGCAAUCCAUUAAGCCUGUUGUCAGGAUCUGUUGAUUCCCUGGAUUCUCACCCAGGCAUAUCACAUGCAUUUUCAGAUUCAAAGCUGCAGGACUGUGGAGGGAGGUCUGCUUACUGUUCACAAGAAGGAAUGAGCCCAUCUUCCCCUUUAAAUUUUGCAAAGAGCCCAUCACCUUCCCUUGUUUUUUCAAAUUCCAUGCAGGAAAGGUUGAUGCAACAGCAUGAUAAAAUUGAUCUUAUGACGUCCAGUGCAGAUAAUUACUUGUUGGACACUGAAUCUACAUCAAAAUCAAAACUGGAUAUGCAGAACUGCUUUCCAAACCCUGAAUCUUCUGGCGUGAAUGAACCUAUUCACAAGGGAACCAGUGACAGUAAUGAAAAAUGCCAAACAGCUAAAAUUGAUUUGAGUAAAUCCAGUUUUGUGAGGCUUGACAAUUAUGAAGAAUAUACUGCAAGCUUGGAUGCCAGGAACAUGUCUUAUAUAAGUGAUCCAUUUUUGCAUCAAGGUGGAAAACUUUAUGAGGGGAAAUCCCCUGAUAGCAGUAUGGGAUAUAACAACAAAUUGUCUAAUGCAGACUGCAACCAAACAUCUGGUUUUGCUGUAGGUACUCAGGAAAAAGAUUCGCAAGUCUCUCAGAAGAUGGUUCCUUCAUCCUUAUCUAUAAAUAGUAACAUCAAACAUCUGCAAACCUUGGGAAAAACCACAUCUGAUAUAGCUGAAUCUUGUGGUUUCAAUGGGAAAGUAAUUGGACAGGGAGAUAUUACUUCAUGUGCCAGGAACACUGAAGCCACAUGCUUGUUUCCAAAGAGCAUAAAUGACACAAGACUUGAUAGUAAAUUGGGUGAUCUUAUCUCUGAGUCUUUGAAUGGCCCUAUGUUGCAUGAACCACCACAAUCUCAGUUUAUUGCAAGUCAAAAUGAUAUAUCUAAAGAAGAUAUGCUUAUGGGCUCAACCAAGUUGCACUCACCUACAAUUCAUGUUGACUCUGUUCUGUGCUCAAGCUUGCUCAAUGAAGACCUUCAUGCUAUGUCACAAAUUCCAGACAAUAAUGCAGCUAGGAAAGAGGUUCCCCUCAUUGAUGAUGAACUUAAUUAUUCCAAUCCAAAUGCUGAGAAGGUGGUCCUCCUAGAUCCCUUGCACAAGAAUUCAAUUGUAGAAGAUAUUACGUUUUCUCUAACUGAACCUUCAAGAAAGAAUCAAUAUCAAAUCCAACCGGAGCCCAUAGUUAUGUCAAAAGAUGUUACCACUAGUGUUCCUUCUGGGAUGCUAGUUUCAUCUGCAGUUGUCCCACAUGUGGAUGUGAUCAGCACUGAUAUCAUAUCUCCUACUGGAACAGAGUUGGAGGAUGCCAUUGCAGAUUCUGAGUCUAAGGUAAGAUUUGUUAAAUUUAUCAUGUAAAUCUAGUUUUUAUAAUGUGUACCACUGCUAGUAGACUCAGGUAGCUUCAUGGCUUUGUUCAUAGGAUUCUUCAGCUGAUGUUCAAGACAAGGAUGAGUCCUUCAGUGAUGCUGUCAUAGCUGAAAAGGAAGCCAACAUCUAUGGCUUGCAGGUUCUGCAUGAAACUUAUUUAUACCUGUUUUCAGUUUAAAAAGUUGAUAUUUGACCAGUUCAUUCAGUGUUGUUUAGUGAGAAGUGUAAUAAAAUUUUGAAAAGCAAGUGUAAUUCUCUAGUUGUUAGGCGGAAAAAACAUUUUGUUUUUCUUAAUAAGGUUCCAUUUAGUUAAUCUACAUUGAAAUCUUUACUAAAAUUAAUAUCCUUUAUUUGGUAGAACAUUGAAACAAAAUUGGGGAAUUGACAAAAGAACAUUACACAUGAAAUGAAAAUUAAAAAAAAAUCAAGGGUAUGCUAAUGUUUUUCUUCUUGGAAAUAUGAUUUAAAACCAUUUCUUUUUCAAACUGGCUUUUGUGCCUAUUUAGUUCUAUUUUAAAAACUGCAUGUUACUCUUUUUUACUAUUCUCCUCUUUUAGAUUCAGAUAUGUAGCAGUUUGACAACAUUUAUUCAAAUAAUAAAAUUAUUUGUUAUCCACCCACAUACUGUGUGGAGGAUUAAUUCUAAUCAUGUGUUGCUUAUGGCAUCUUCUUUACUGCACACAUGAAAGAGAUUCUACUUAAUUUAUGCAUCCGUUUAUAAUUUGAUCAUGUUUGUGUAGUUUGCCCUCUUCCUUUUUAUCUUUUCUCCAUCUCCUUACCUUGCCAUGACUUUUCAGUUCUUGUCUAUUUUCUAACUGUCUUUGUAAUUAGCCCUAACAACUGUCUUUUGUCCCUCUGAAAACCAAGAAUAUUGCUAUUAAUCUACUUUUAAUAUGGUUACCAGACUGAUGGUUAAUUGAUAGAAAAUUUGAUUCUAUGUCAACUUCUAGUCAUAUUUCCCUUGUAACCAGUAACUUUUUGGACUAAAUUACCACACCUGUAUCAGCCCCCUCCCCAUUUUAGUUUCCUCCUUGAAAGAUUAGCUUUUGAACGUUAAUGAAGGUUUUCUAAUUUUGAUGUGCAGAUUAUUAAAAAUGCCGAUCUUGAAGAACUGAGGGAGCUAGGAUCUGGUACAUAUGGAUCUGUUUACCAUGGAAAAUGGCGGGGAACAGAUGUUGCUAUAAAGAGAAUAAAAAAGAGUUGCUUUUCUGGGAAAUCAUCAGACCAGGACAAGCUGGUAGGUCUGCGGAGAUUUUUCCCUCUUUUUCCGCCCCUUUCUUUCCAGUUUCUAAUCCUAAAUAUAGUUGCUGGCUAGGUGGUGGUAUGAAUUGUACACUGCAUUCCAGAAACAAGGAAAGAGUUUCAAAAUACUAUUAUUGUUAUGUCAUGGAAGUAAAUUCAUGGGGGUACCCUUUCUCUUCUUCCUUUUCGGCCUUCUUCUUGACUCCUUUUAAAGGGAAAUAUAUCCACUACUGUUAUUCUGCCCUUCUCUGUGAUUUGAGAUUUGGUAAUCUGUUUUUUCUGUUUAUGGAGGGUUUUCAGCCCUCGAGUUAAAAGUAAUUUGCAGCAGCUUUGACAUGCAUCAAAAUCACAUAUGUUUAUCAAGGAAGAGUGUUGAUAUUUAUCACAAACGCAUGUUUUUAUAAAGAAAAAUUAGUCUGUGGGUUGCCAUAGUUGAUUCAAAAUUUGAGUAGAGGUCUUCAAAAGAAGAAAAGAAAAAGGGUUUUCCUUUUCUUUUUUCUUUUAAUCCUUUAAGAGUGGGGUUUGGUACUUGAGUCAAUUGAAGUAAAUGUGAAAGAAAUAGCUGAGAAUUAUCCAAGAUGCUCCACUUCGGUGGUCAUUUUGAACUGGGUCAUUAUUUCCCUGCUUUGCUUCUUUUUCUUUAAUCUUGAAAUAGCAAGCAAAAGGGGGGAUUACCACUGUAGUACUAUAGAGAUCUUUAAACAGUUUUGCAGUCAAAUUCUUCAUAGCAAUUUCAGUUAUUUGCAUGCCUGAAGCUAAUAUAUAUUUGGUUGUGCCAGACAAAAGACUUCUGGAGAGAAGCACAGAUCCUCUCAAAUCUGCUUCAUCCAAAUGUGGUAGCAUUUUAUGGAGUAGUACCAGAUGGAACUGGAGGAACUUUGGCAACUGUAACUGAAUUUAUGGUCAACGGAUCGCUUAGAAAUGUCCUAAUCAAGAAGGAUGGGUAACCUAGGUUCAUCCUCUCAAAUUUUUAGUCCUUCCCUCAUUAAUGAUGUGCUUACUGGUUGUUUGGAAUUCUUAUGCAGAUCGCUUGAUUGUUGCAAAAAGCUUAUAAUUGCCAGGGAUGCAGCUUUUGGCAUGGAAUACUUGCACUCCAAAAACAUUGUCCAUUUUGAUCUGAAAUGUGAUAAUUUGCUUGUGAAUCUAAGGGACCCACAACGACCCAUAUGCAAGGUAAUAUUUACAAACUCGUCUCUAGUAGAUAUUGAGUUCAAGGUGGCUAACGUUAUUACUAAAGACCAUAAAUGGCUAGAGAGAAGAAUAAUUAAUUCUGAUUGAAGUGAAAGUGAUUGUUUUUGGUCCAAGAUGAAUGCCGAUAUGCUUGGGGACAGUAGCAUACCCUUAUCUUGUCAAGUUAGGAAGCUUGGUGAUGGGAGGUUUUCAUUGGCUGUUCACUUGAAACAUGGUUACUGUGUAUUGUUUCUGUAGGUUGGAGAUUUUGGAUUAUCAAGAAUUAAGCACAGCACUCUUGUUUCUGGAGGUGUGCGAGGAACCCUUCCAUGGAUGGCACCAGAGUUAUUAAAUGGUAACAGCAAUCGUGUUUCUGAGAAGGUCAGUGUGUGCUGCCACUGUGAAGGAAAGAACAAGCAUGUUAAAUGCCGAAAUUUAUGAUAUUUGAUUUGGCAGGUUGAUGUGUUCUCAUUUGGAAUUUCAAUGUGGGAAAUCUUGACUGAAGAGGAGCCUUAUGCUGAUAUGCAUUGUGGUGCCAUUAUUGGUAAGAUUUCAGUUUAUCUAAUUUGCCAUUAGCUACGAUUUUAAGCAGAAAUUUUACAGGCAUGGAAAAAGUAAUUGGGAUGUUAUGACAUGGUAUUAGAUCCACUAUGGAGUGCAUAUUUUAGCUAAAAUGGUGUAUUGAAUUUUUGCCAUAUGUAUCUGAAAACUAAAGAAAAAGCUUCCUUUUUUCACUUAAAUUUGGCUUUACAUUCCAUUCGUAAAAUGUGAUUGCAGGGGGGAUUGUGAAGAACACUCUUCGACCUCCAAUUCCAGAACACUGUGACCCUGAUUGGAGGGAGCUGAUGGAACAAUGCUGGUCAGCUGAUCCUGAAUCUAGACCAUCAUUCACGGAGAUAACGAACAGGCUGCGAUCAAUGUCUAGGUUGCUUCAGCUCAAGGGACGUAAUGAUCAGGCAAGACACACAAAAGCCUAAUGUUACAGCAUGAACAUGAUUAAACACCAAGCACCGGCUUGGUUUGUAUCAUCAUUAAAUGCCAAGCACCGGUUUUGUUUGUAUCUUCACCUGUAAACUUGGGUAACUCCGACCCCACCCUUCGAGGUAAGAGGAUUAAAUCAUUGAGGAUUAGGAUGAGGAUGAGGAUGAGUAGAGUUUAAUCAAUGAUGGGCAGAACUUCUUUCCCCUUCUCUCACUUUUGUAAAUAUAUAGCUCCAUUUGAUUAUUCGUUUUUUCUGACACAGUAAUUCAGGUCAUAGUGGUAAGGCAGAGAGAUAGCAUUUAAAAUAUUUUGAUGAUUGUUGAAAAUAGAAAGAUUAUAUGUAUGUACAAACAUUCAGAAAAGGGGGAAAUGGCAUUUGAUUAGAGUUCAAUUUGAUAUAUCUAGACCUCAUAAUUUUACAUGGGAAAUAAUGACAAAUAUAUAUAUUCUUUAUAUGUGUUAAAUUUACAUAUAUGAUAAUAAUAUGCAAAAGUAGUGAAAUCUAGAUCUGUCUUACAAAAUUUACCAUUUCUCCAUUCAUUAUAUUAAUGAUAAUUCUAUUUGAAAGAGCUAAAUUAAAAGAGAAGGUAGUUUCCAUUUGUUCCGACUAUCAAUUGAGGAAAAAAUGUCAUUUUCAUAUUCUUUUUAUGAUUUAAUUUUAAAUUUCAUUCGCAUAUAAAUGUCAUUAUUUAUAUAAAUGAUUAAAUCGUUGAUAAAUGAUAAAUUUUAAUAAUGUUAGUUGAUCGGAUUAAUUUAUCGGUUUAGUUAAAAUAUGAAAAUUAAAUUAAGAAAUCUAACUUUUAAAAAAAAUAGAGGAAUUCAUAAUUAAAGCUUUAUCUGCCUACGUCCUCGUAAUGCUUAUGGUGUCAAAAAAAUCUUUGCCCUGUUGACGGUCAAUUCAAAAUUCAACGGGAAGACUUCUGGAGGCUUUUUGCUUUCUAGCUUUUUAUUAUUAUAAUAAAAUCAAAUAAAAGUAAAAUCACUAAGUAAACAACACGAAUUAUGAAAAUAAAAGUAAAGUCACUACCUAAUAGUCAUUGUAACAAUUGUCAUUCACCGUAAUCAAAUUUGUUAUUAACUUUCAUCUCUUCAUAACUUAUUUAUUAAUCUUUUAUAUACGGGUUAGCUUCUUUGCUUGCUUAAUUGCUUCAAUUAUCUUCUGAUUCUUGUCACUAUGUAUUUUGAAAUUAAAAAAAUAUAUUAGAUGUAAAAAAGUGAUUUUUAAUAAAAAUUAUUUUAAAGAUAAAAUGUGAAAUCGAUACUAAUAUAAAAUUUUAACACGAAUAUUUUAUAGCAUCAUCAAUAAUUCAAUUUUAACAUAAAUUUAUAAAUAUUCAAUUUGAUUAAAUAAUUCAAUAAUAUAAAUAGUACAAAAUGUGUAAUUUAAUUUAAUAAUAUAAAUGUAGAUAUAAAUAAAAUUAUUACUAUUUAGGUUUAGGGAUUUUUUUUGGAUGAUUUUAAUUUUUUAUUUAGGGUUAAGGAUGAGAAGUAAAAGUUUAGGGGAAAAAAUAAAAAGUUUUGGAGAGUAAAUUUUGGAGGGAAAGUAAAUGGGAGAGUAAAAUUUGGGGAGGGGGGAUAUUCAAAAAAAAAAUCUAAAGAAAAAAUGGGUUUGAGGUAGACGGGGAUGGGAUGGGAUGGGAUGGGAGGAGAGUAAAAGUAUUGGGAGAAAGUACAAAAGUUUGGGAGUUUGGGGUAAACUUUAAAAUAUAAUAGUUUGGUAUUCGAUUUAUUUGAAUUAUUUAAAUCCAAAAACUCAACUCGAUUCGAAUUCGAAAUUCGAAAAAAAAAUUGAAUUAACUCGAAUAACUCAAUUCGUUUAAUGCCUCAUUAAAAAUAUUACCAAGAAAAUUCAAUGAGAAAAAACCUUAGUAAAGAAAAAUAUGAUACAACGCAUAUUUACUUCCCUCAUGACAACAUUACAUGAUAUCUCAUAUUUUACAUAUUCAAUCUUAAAUACUAGUUUUUCAAAUGAUAACUUGAAGAAUUUGCUAAACAUUUAUAUCAUCAUUCUUCUGAAUGCCAUUAGUGAGGAAGAAUUUUGGAGAAAUAUUGUAACAACCCGGUUUUGACCCUAAUCGGAAUAGUAGUUUCGGGACCACAAAUCCGAGUCCUAAAAAUAUUUUAAUAUUAUUUUCUAUAAUUUUUAUGUGUGAAUUUACUUGUGUGAAAAUUUCAUGAUUUAAUUUCGUCGUUUGAGUGUCCGAUUAAAAAAAAGAUUAAAUCGCGUAAAAUAAAAAAUUUUGUGGUCAUUUUUAAAAGGGCUGAAUAGUGGAUGUUCUUUUAAUAUGGAGGUCUUAUGUGGCAAUUAAUUCAUUUAAAUGCUAGUGGACGGCAUUAAGUGAUAGCAUAUAGUUUUUAUAUUAUUAAUAUUAAUUAUAAAGGUUAUAAUUAUGUAUAUUAUAUUAAUAUGUUAUAAUAAAAAUAUUAUAAGCCAUCAUCAUUUUAUUUUAUUUCUUCUUCAUCUUCAUGACCGAAACUAAACAAAAGAAAAAGAAAGAAGAACCUAGCUACAUUCGGCCAUUUUAAAUUUUAAUUAAGGUUAGUUCUUUGUUCGGUUUUUGAUAAUUUUUACGUUUUUGACAUCGUUGUUUUGUGUUCUUCAAAACCCAUGCUUAAAUUUUGUGAAUUGAUGAUGAUUUUGAAAUGUGCCAUUGAUGGAUGUUUGAGUUUUAUGAUGUUAGUUGAUGAAAUAUGAAAUAUAUGAGUUAGAUUAACAUGUUUUGUCUUGGGAUUUUUGAUGAAUUUGAGUAUUUAGGGCUAAAUUGUGAAAAUAAAUUUUUGAGGGACUAAAAUACGAAAUAAAUGAAAUGCAUGGACUUGUAUGAGUAUAAUGAAGUUUCGGCCUAACCAUAGUAUAGUCAAAAUUUGAAUGUUUUGUGUUUUGUGUAAUUCGGACUAAAUUGUGAAAAAUGUAAAAUGUUAGGGGCAAAUUUGUAAUUUUCCAUUUAUGUGUUUUUGGAUUAAAUUGAAGUUAAUAAUAUUUAAACUAGCUCAUUUUGAAUAUGUUUAGAUCAAGAACCAAAGAAAUCGGAGCUAGAUCGGGGAAAAACCAAAAUCGUCGACUAAUUAUCCGAUUUCAAUUUUUCACUGUCCGAGGUAAGUCUGUUAGACAAAAUUCAUGUUAUGAAAUCAAUAUAUAUAUAUAAGUAUAUUUAUUUUAUAAUUAAUGAGUUAUAAUUACAAGUAUAAAAUUUAUGUUAGUUGAUGUGUGAAUUUCAUACAUAUACAUGUGAUGUUCGAAUAGGUAUGUAUAUAAAAGUAUAAAUUUUUGGAUUCAAUUAAAAGUUCAAAUGUUAUGGUUGUGAUUAUAUAAUGUACGAAUAUAUAUAUGUGUGUAAUAUAUAUAUAUGUGGAUCGAACAAGCUUGCAUAUACAUGUAUGAUACCUUAUAUGGAUUUGGGAAUGAAAUUAUGGAUGUAUAUAUAUUAGAUUCGAAUAUGUAUGAGUAUACAAAUAUAAAUUCAUGCUUUGAUUAUGAGUACGUAAUUAUAUAUGUAUAUGAUAGACUCAAAAAUAUAUAUAUAAAUGUAUUCGGUUGAAUCAUUGAAUUUUCAAGUUUGGAAUUGGUGAAUUGAAUCAGGUUAUAAACCUAGCAGGCUAAGUGCCGGUGAUCUGAAUCAGGCUAUAAGCCUAGCAGGCUAAGUGCCGGUGAUAUGAAUCAGGUUAUAAACCUAGCAGGCUAAGUGCCGGUGAUCUGAAUCAGGCUAUAAGCCUAGCAGGCUAAGUGCCGGUGAUCCGAAUAUGAUGAAUUAAGUGAUUCUAAGCAUUUGGUAUAAAUAUAGAUAUGAUUUUAUAUGAAAUGGAUGAAUGUAUGAACAUUGUUUCAAGAUGUUGAUGAGUAUAUAAUUGUUCGAAUCUUUGUGAUUAGUUAGUAUGUAUAUAUAUAUAUAUAUAUCUCGGAUGUCAUGAAAAUUGUUGGAUAUUUAUGUGUGCAUAUGUAGGCAUUCGGCAUAGGUGGAUAUAUAUUUGUAUGCAUUCGGCAUAGGUAGAUAUAAGUGUAUAUAUGUAUGCAUUCGGCAUAGGUGGGUAUAAGUGAAUAUGUGCAUUCGGCCUUUAUAGUUUAUAAGUAUAAAAAUUAUGCUUUUGGUAUAUGUAAUUGAACAAUUAUAUAUAAAUGGAUCCGAUGAAGUACGAACAAGUACUCUAGAAAUCUGUAUAUGCAGAUAAUGAUUAUGUUAGUAAUUUGAUUUUAUGCAUAUAAUGUAUAUACCUUUGUCCGUUUAUGUAUAUUAGUUAAAUAUACAUUCUUUUAGAUUUAAACGAAAUGACUUAAUAUAGAAAUGUUUGGUUAGUAAUUAUAUUUGAUAUUUGUGAUUUCGAUAAAUUUACUUAAAUAAUUAUGUGAUUCUUUUAUAUGUAUUUUUAGAUACGCUAUAGACUUACUAAGCUAUAAAAGCUUACUUUGGUUAUCUUUGUCUAUCUAUUCUUAUAGAUUUUGGAGACGCAUUACGAGCUCGGGGAUCAUCAGCAUAAUCUAUCACACUAUCGACCGUCUUUGGUAUUUUAUAUAUUUUGAACUCGAACCUAUGACAUGUAUAGUCUAGUUAAUAUGUUUAAAUUUUUGGGAUAUGUGAAUAUGAGCCAUGCGAAAAUGGCUUAUCUCUUUUCGUUUUGAAUUUGGUAUUAACGAAUAUGUUUUAAUGGUCUAUUUCCUAUGCUUAAAUUCGGUUUAGUUAAAAAUGGCUUGAUCAUUAUGUUUAAACUUAGUUUUAUAUAUUCUAGGUUGAAUGUUCAAUGUGAUUGAUUUAAAUGAUUCGACCAUGGUAUAAGUCUAUUUGUAUAAAUGAUAAUUAGUAUGAUUGAUAACUUGAUUAUAUUUCUUGAUUGGUUACAUCAUGAAUAAAUUAUGAAUUAGUUUGUAUAAGUAAGUUUAAAACAUAGUAAAAAUGCUUGUAAGUUUUUAUUAAACAAUUCGGCUAAAGAGUAUGAAAGAACAUAAUGUAUAUUGAUCAUGAUCUAACCUUAAUUUGAAGUGGUGUUUAUGCUGUAAAUUGGUUAAGGGAUGAGUUUCGGUUGUGCUAUGAUAUUGAAUUGACGAAUAUGUAUGUUUUGUAUUAAGAAUUGGUGUGGAAAAAAAAUGGUUGUGUUUGUUUGGUAAUGCCUCGUAACCCUAAUACGGCGACGUAUACGGGUUAGGGGUGUUACAAAUAUAUUUUGAUCUAUUCAGGAGUUUGAAUAAUAAUCAUAACAAAGUUUGGUUAUGAUCUUUUUAUUCAUGUGCAUGUUGGAUCAUCUUAUAAUAUUUCUUUAACUAUUAUUCACCUAGUUGAAUUUACCACAUAUGUUUAAGUUAAUUUAUUUCAUAUAAAUAUUUACUCAAAUGUAUCGAAUAAUAUCUUGAGAAUUUUUAUACGCUUACAACAUUCUAAUCCUUCAAGGAUUUUAAUAUAAAUUUAUACUAGAUAGUGAUUCAUAUAAAGAUUGUAACAACAAUCAUUAGAUACAUAUCAAAUUUUCAUAAGCUGUCAAACUAAUGAGAUAUCUAAAUGUUAUUGCAUCUACCACAAAAGAAUAUAUUUUCAUAAUUAUUGCUAAGGCUUUAGAGAUAACUUCAUUUUCUUAUUUCAUUUUCACAAAACAACUCAUUUGUACUCCACUGACCUUAAACCUUUAGAUGCUUGGACUACUGGUCCAGAAACUUCACAAAUUUAAUUCUACUUAAAUUGUGUCUUUCUAUUUUAGCCAAUCUAUUUCAUGUCUAUGUUUUUUGACAAAUUUAUUCAAGAUCCUCUUUUUGCUUCAUUAUCUCAAUAAUACUAAUGCAUGCAAAAAUAUUGUCAACAACUUUCUAUUUUCACGGUUCCAUGUUUUCUCUUAUUGACAUAACUUAUCGAGAUUUCUUUAUUUUAAUUAUUUCUAUCGUCAAUUUCAGGUAUUUGACUCUCUUUUGGAGUUUUAAUAAUUAGUUAUGUCUUAAGGCUCUUCUGGAACACCCACCUCCACCAUCUGACAUAUAUAUUAAUUAUUUUCUUUUACGAGAAUUUUCAUCUUCGGUACCAAUCGACUUGUCAUGCUUCAGGCAUGCAUUACUUUAAUUUAUUCUAACAAGUUGUCCUACUAGGACUUCAAUUCAAAUCAAAACAUUAACUGGUAUAUAACACUUGAUUAUUCUCAUCAGGUUAGUAAAUAUAUUUGGUAGUUAACUUGUAAUAAAAUGAAUUAUCUUUUUGAACUUUUGGUUCAAAUAACUUUCUACGAUGAUCAAGAUAAUGCUAAUUUAUUUCAAGUAAUUUAUUUAUCCAACUAUUGUUUUUCUCUCCUAAUGUUGGGAAAACUAUCAAAGCAAAUAGUAAUCACAAAUCAUGUCAAAAUUGAAUCUCCAAAUCAUUUAAAACAUCUUAUAAUACGAGACUUAUAAUUAGUAUAUAUUAUCAACUUUAUUUGAAUACUCAUUUCGUGCUUUGUGGUGGAGCAACUUGAACAUUUAUUGCACAUUCAAAACUUCUAAAAUGGGUUGUAUUUGACUCCUGACCAAAAGUCAAUUGUAAUAGGUAGUGUAUAUCAUAACUUAUUGGCAUGAUACGUACAAGUGUCUAUUCAUAUAAAAUAUCAUAUCCUAUACAUAUAUACAAAAAAUUUUCUUCAAAAGAUAUGGUUUAGCUACUAAUUGGUAAGUGGUCAUAUUAUAAUUCCAACACUAAGUAAAUAUCCAAUAGGUUAAAUUUACUUAGUGAAAUCGUUGUACCUUAAUUUAUAGAGUUAUCAUUGAAAUAGAUUUUUGAGAAUUGUGAAGUCAAUUAGUAAAUAUGUCAUCAAUAAUAUAUUAUUGACUUGAAUUGUUUGAAAAGGCAAAUUGUAAUAAAUGAUGUGAUAGUUAAAUUUGAUUAUGGAGUGUAGCACCCUGUAACCCGGAUCCGGCGAUUGGGUUAGGUAUGAGGUGUUACAAGAAACGUGGUGGAACCACAUUUGGGACUUGAGAGGAGUUCCAAAAGGAAUUCAGGGCACAAUUUUACCCAGAUUAUACCGAGUAUAAGGCUCGAGCAAAGUUACACCAGUUUACGCAACGAGGCACAGUUAGGGAGUAUGUGCGGGAGUUAAGUGAAGCCAUGCUCCAAAUUUUUUAUUUGAAAGAGAAUGAGGUGUUUUUUUCCUUUUUGGAUGGGUUGAAGCCAUGGGUGAAGCAAAAGUUGCAACGCUGAUAAGUCCAAGAACUUACCAAAGCCAUGACGAUAAUAAAGUCCUUAAUUGAACUUGUUCCAAGGAAAGAUAAGUUUGAGUCUUCCAAGGCCAAUGGGAAGGGUGAUGGUGGGGAAGAUGAAGAAGGACAUGGCGAGUAUGACAAUGGUAAUAGUAAUGAUGGCAAUGGGAAACGACGAAACGAGAAGUGGAAAACCAACAACAACCUAAAUGAGAAGGGUAGAGAGAUAAAAUGUUUCUUUUGUGACGGUCCAUAAACAAGAAAGGACUGUCUGAAGAGGUAUGUGCUUUUAGUCAUCAAAGGGGAUGAUGAGCCAUAAAAAGCGCCUAUAAGUCUUGGUUCGGUCUUGCGUGGUGUCAAAGCCAAGAGGGGCAAAGAAAGCAAGACGAAGCCAGUUGAGUGCUUCUUUUGUAGUGGUCUGCAUAAAAUGCAAGACUGUCCAGAGCAAUCUAAGUUGUCCAUGAUCAGUAAAAGAGAAAAAGCGGAGCCUAAUGAGAGUAAGGCUUCAAAUCUUGAGUCAAUGAUACUCACUCUUGCGAAAAGGAAUAGUAGGCAGCUAGGGUUGAUGUUUGUGGACAUCAACAUCGUAGGUCAAAGAAAAAGUGCUCUUGUUGAUACAAGAGCAUCAGAUCUAUUCAUAUUAGAGAAAGUCGUAGACAAACUUGGUUUCUUAGUUAGAAAAUCGAAUAAGAAUAUUAAGACGAUGAAUUUCAAAGAUGUCUCAACUAUAAGAGUAGCACGAGAAAUAGAGCUUCAACUCUGCGAGUGGAAGGGUAGGGUAUUGGGAAAUGUGUCCAUAUUGUAGUAAACAUGUAAUUAUUUUCUAUUUAUUUGAAUGAUGAAUAAAUAGAUAAAGUUAAUUUUGCAUUUCACUAUUAUAUUUUUUGUAUUUUUGUUUUUCAUAUUUUGCAUGCAUAGCGAAAUUGUGAUAAGAAAAUAUUAGCUCAUUAAUUGUCUAAGUUCAAACUGAUGAUAAGUGGCAUUAUAAGAACGUUUACAUCGCGAGAAAGACUACUUCAAUAGAUAAUCUAAAUGAGUCUGUAAUCUCGUAAAAAAAUAAAAGUGAGCAUUUGAUUCAAAUACUUAGAAGAAUUAUCAUGUUGUCUACAAUUCCAAUUGAGAAGAUGAUUAGUCUUGGCUAUCGGAGUAGUUGAUUCCACGAGUAAAGACAUAGAUGUAUUCAAUGGUAGAAUGAUACAUUGGAUUGGACCCAAGAUUAAUUAAUUCUGAAUCUGUUUGUGAAUUUUCACUUGUGACAUUCAUGGUAUGAUUUACCUAAAUCCCGGGUUAGUCACUGACUAUGCGUAUUUAACUCAUGUGCUUUGAUAUAAGUGGAGGCUUAUGUUCAAAAAAUGGUCAAGCCAAUAACCGGUAUGUUGGGCACAUGACUUGUGUAUGACAUUGCUUUACUAAUAACAAUGGAAUUCAUAGCUCAAUAAAGAGUUAACGAUAUCUUCUCAUUGGCAUUGUGUGGAUUGAUAAAUAUGAAACGUGGCCACGGGUUGCUUAUUCUCGAACGAGCAAUUUAUCACAGUCAUUUGUUUACAGUGAUCAUAUUAAUCAUUAAGAAGACACAGUGGUAAUAAUGAGAUAAAAUAGUAUUGUAUUGAGUGAAUAGAUUUAACUUAAAGGAAUCAAGGAUAUCAUAUAAGGGUAACACACACAUGAUGUGGUCAUUGGACAAGGUAGUUGGAUGAAUUGCUUUCGUAAAAAGUAUGCAAUAAGGAGUUUUCAAUCAUCGUACUUCUUGUGAACUGACUCCAUGACUAAAUAAUUGCAAAUUAUCGGAACAAUGCUUUUGGACAUAAUUGCAAUUACUAGAGCCUAAUUGUAUAUGUCUGAUUGAUCCAUCCGCUAACUUAACAAAAGCUCGAUCAGACUGCAUUUGAAUCAGAAGAAAAUUCUACGACUUUGGAAAUAACUUAAUUGAGUCGAUUUAUUCGAUGUGGAAUUAAAUUGGGCAACCGUAAAAAUUGUUCAACUAUAGAAAUUGAUUAAAGAAUUUUCUUAAAAAAUUAAUUCAAAAAAUCUAAGUGAUUUUUGGAAAAAUUAAUUUUGAUCAAGUAAAAUUAAAUUAAUCAAAUUAAUUAAAAUUAAUAUGAUAUUUUUAGAAAUUAAUUUUCAAGUCAGACAAUUGGACCAAUGGCUAAUUGAACUUGAAAAUUGGACCUGAGAUAAAAAAUUAAGCUUGGGAGCCCAAAACCGAGACCAAUAUCCAAAAACUGGUCGAACCGAGCCUGGUAUAUGAAACUAAGCCAACGGUCCAACUCAAGGCUGGAUUGGACCGGUUGGGCCAUCACUGGCCCAAAUCGAACCGGCAAUAACUGUACCAGCUCGGGGUGUCGACGGCUGCGAUAGUGGUAUUCUGGUGGUCAGUAAAUGAUUGGUGGUGGUGAGUCUUCGAUGGUUGAGCAUGGAGGAAUCACACUCCUACUGGGACUCUACUGAAUAAUUUGAUUUCAAAUUAACUAUUCCAAAAAUAAUAUUAUUUUAAUAGAUUUAACACUAAAUUUAAUUUAAUACUUAUCUUAAUAGUUAUCUUAAUAAUAUUAUAUUAAUUUAAUAUUAAAGUGAUUAUCUUAAUAUUAAAUUUACUUUAAUGUUUAUCUUGUAGAUAAAUAUUCUAUUAAUUUAAUAAAAUUUAAUAUUAAUUUAAUAUAAUACUUAUCUUGAUAAGUAUUAUAUUAAUUUAAUAUUAAAGUGGUUAAGUUUAAUUAUAAUUUAACUCUCUAAACUCUCAUUAUAUAAAGAGAGUCUUGGGUCAUUAUUUCACACACACUUGAAUUCAAGAGAAAGUUGUAGAGAUAAAAUUCUCUAAAGAAAUUAUUUCAGAAAAUUUCUAGAAAUAUUUUUUAUUUACAACUUGGCCCAAAAGUUUAGAGAAAUUGUGAAAUUAUCCCACCAGUAUUUUUUUGUGAAAAUUUUCUGAUUUGAAGCGAACUCACACUCGACAAACGUGAGCUUGAGGAUAACGGAGAUGACUACUUAGUCGAAGCGUUCAUCCUAGACGAAUCGAAAAUGUACAAUUUUAAUCAAGUGUUUAUUAUUUUAGAUAUCACAAGUUUUAGAAAAAAAUUUAAAACUCUGAUUUUUCCCCACAUUUAUUUUUCGCUGUAUUUUUCAAUCCCGAUUUUUCAACACAAGGAAGAUUUUGAGGUAAUCUAUUUAGAUGACUAUUAUUUUGUUCUUGGGUUGAACUUCUUGAUGGGAUUAAGACAGGCCUUUUUCCUUUUCUGAUUUUAUUCAUAUCUUUGAUGAUCCACAAUCACGAUGUGUUGAGCCAGUAAAUCAAGACAUGAAAGUUGGAACCAAGGUAUUGUCGACAAUCCAACUAGCCGAGGAUAUUUUGUAUGAAAGGAACAUUGACUCGGUAGAUCAAAUUGCUAAGGAAGCCCUUUUGGAAAUGCUAGUGGGGCAUAAAACCGAUAUGAAGCCUAUUGAGCUAUCAGUGCAGCUACCACCUAUGAGAGAGGUGGGUUAUGCAUCAGACUUUGGGGGUAAAAUGGUGAUGCAAAUUGGGCAGUUGAGACGAGUAAAUAUUGCGAGUGAGGUACAACUCAAACACUUUGGUAAUGUUUUUCAUUCUGACUUAUUUUUUGGUAAAGACACGGAGGCCAUUUCAAAGUUUUGGCAGGAAAACUCAAGGUUAACUCAGUGUUCAAUGUGAGCAUGCCAAAGCUUAGUUGUGCGGAUCAAGUGGAUUCCGAUCGAGGCAAGGCACAAUACACAAAAGUAAGAGUGAUGGGCUCUUACAAACGUGAUGUACUAACAAGUGAAACGGUUUGAGUUAGGUAACAAUGGAAGCUGAUGCAAUGGUUCCAAGGGGCGGGACUACCCGACAAUGAGACUAGUCAAGAAAGGGCCAAGGUGUCGAGAAAGUUUCGAGGCAAAUCAAACCAAUUCCAUUCCAAGGGUGCAAUGAAGGCUUUGUGAGAGGGGAGAAUGUCACAGGCCAUGGCUCAAAGCCUGUGACCAAAGCACAAAGAGCAUUCCAUGAAGGUCGACAUAUUAAAUGGGGCUUAUUUGACCCACUUGAACUAGUUCGAUUCGAAGAACAAGUUACGAAGCCCAUCUACUUGAAGUCUUAGUGGCCCAGCGAAGUACUUAAGGAAAAUUAGGGUUACCGUAGUAAAUAUGGAAAGUAAUCUUAAAAGAUUUGUAAUAUUAUAAGAUUUGAUUUUGUAAUCUUAGGGAUUAUGCCAAUCCUUUAAUUAUAGAUAAACUUCGAUCUCGUUCGUCGAUGUAACUCAAUUUAUACCGUCGAUUUUGGGGGAGCUCAACUAUAUAGAGAGUCUACCCCUCAUUUGUAAUCCUCCAUUGUAUCUUAUUCUUUGAGUUGAAGAAUAUAUUGAGAGCAUUUACUCAAACAUCUGGUGUGUUUUGCUUUUCUGUGGCCAUUUUGUUCUUUUAAGCUUUCUUUUGUCUUUGAAUUGCUUCCAUUUUAUAAUUCGGUGCCUUAGAGAAUUUUUAUGAGAAUUCUCACUUUGUAAGAGUUAAGUUGACUUAAGUGUAUUUGAAGUAAAAAAACUACUUAAGGUCGUACGGAUUGCAAGACGAAAAGUUUAACCCCGUAACACUAGAUUUUUAUUGAAGGAUAAAAAAAUUAUACAUUAUAUUUUAGGAUUUAUUAAUUAUUAUAUAAUAUAUAUAUAUAUAAUAUAUGGGGAAGUGUGAGAUGAAGUCACGCAUAAAAAGAGAAAAAAAAACUUCUGUCUUGAUUUUUGGUUUUGAGCCGCAUAGGACAGACUUUGAAUUUGGUUUUUGGCACCCCCACAAGGAUUUGAGUUUUUGGGAUAAUUUUCUUAAAUUUUUCGUCUUUGAGCAAUUUUCUUCCAAUUAUUUCUUGUUUGUUCUUCAAAUUAUGAGUAGCUAAAUAUUUAUUUUAGUUUUAGGUGGAUAAUUUAUUCGGUAUUAAAAUCAUAAGACUUCAAAAUCAUACAUAUAUUUUCAACUUCAAUAUUCAUUAAUUUUCUAUUAGUUGUCUCAUAACAUCGUUUUAAUAUCAAAAUUGAGAAAAGUCCCUUGAUUUGGUGUUGGAUGGCAUAUGAUUGGUGAACCAGUACAAUCAAUAAUUGUCAUGUUUAGUCCAUUGAAAAUUAAAUUGACGCGACCAAUUCAGUGAUUGGUUGGAUCCGUCUAGGGAGUUAACGCUCAAGUUUAAAUAACUCAUGAAGUUGAGACCAUUGAUUUGAGUUGGGUCCUUUUAGUUCACAAAAUUGCAUAGAAAUUAAAUUGUGGUAGUUAAUUUCAAGGUUAUUUACUUGGUAAUGAUUAGCUGUUGAGUUGUUCCUGUAAUUAAUUUACAUACAGAACGGAUCAUGGUUUGAGGCUGUUUCUCGAUCACUAUAACCGACUUAUCGGUUGGAGGAGAAAAUCCAUUGUCCGAAAUUUGUUCGAAGUAAGAGUCAAAAUCGUGCCUGAAGUUGGAGCUUUCAUUAUAUCGAUUUACACAACUUUAAUUUUGUUUGUUUAUUUUUAUUGCGCUCAAUUUAUUUCUAGUAUUUAUUUUUAUUUGAAUUUUAGUUAUUUAUUUUAUAUUUAGAUUUAAUCUCCCCUUCUUUAUUUUCAUAGGUUCACAUAAAUUUUUGGUAGUAGGAAAUAAUAAAAUUGAUCAGUCUAGUCUUUGUGGUAUCGACCCUACUUACUAUACUACAAAUUUAAUUUAAUUUCAGUUUAAGUGUAAGAAUUUAUUUUUGGUAGGUUUGACAACCAUUAGAAAACAUCUUAUGUUAAAAGUUAAUUUUUUAUAAAAUUUACUCAAGAAUUAUUAUUGGUGUAGUGGUAAAUAAUUUGUUUAAAAAUCCAUCAAACAUGAGUUUAAUCUUUAGACAUAUUUGUAGAGGCCAAAAUUUGCCUGGCCUAGACCCAACAUAAACAAAACAACGAAAACAAAAGUAAUAACACACAGUCCAUUUACAGAAGCCCCAAAGCCCACAACCUAAAUGUUUUUUUUUUCAAAAAACCCUAGUUUCCCCCUAAGCCUCAAGCCGCUGCUCCUUGCCACGUCAGCGGGCACUUCUCCUGAAGACAUCAACGCCCUGAGGUCUGCCCCCUGCCAUCAUUUCACCGAAAUGGCUAAGGAGCACACAUUUCCUCGUCGUUGACCACCACCAUGGCACCUGCAAAAGAAGAAACAGAGAGUAGAAACAAAGAAAAAGAAAAAGAAAAGAAAAGAAUAUUGUAUUUGGUUCGGCUAUAAAGGCUAAAUCUUCUGUAAUUUUUAAUAGGAAGAAAUUGAAUACAAAAAAAGCAACAAGUUUUAAAAGAAAAGGUAGUUUAUUUUUUAUAUUUCACGAAAAAUGUAAAUAAAAGAAAAAGAAAGUUAUUUCUUACCUGAGCGUCGGUUCGUCUCCCCAUUGCAGACGGACGUGGCCCCUGUCUCCGAUGAUAGACAGGCCCUCUCUGAUUUCAUAGGAGAGGGUAGGGUUCGUCCUGCUUCUCAAAAACACACAAAGAAGCCGAAAAGUUUCAUCUCGUAUUUUCUAAUUUUGGUUGGGUUUUGGGGUAUUUUAACCCUGGAUUUGAUUCCAAGGCUUCGAGGGGAUUCCAAAAAAAGUUUUUCUUUUGAAUUUUUGGCCACUGGAGGCGAUGGUCGCCAUCGCCGAUGACCGGUGGCCAUGGCGAAGUUGUGACGGUACAAAGGUCGAAAGAAGAAGAGGAUUUCAAAGAAAGAAAUAGAGAAAGAAUUUUUUUUAAAUGAAACCAAGUGAUUUUUUUUUAGGAUUUUUUAAUUUAUAUAGGCCCCUAAAACGAUGUCAUUUUGGGAUUGGCUUCAGAUGUCCAAAGCGACGUCGUUUUGGCACAAACCGAAGAUCCGACCCAAAUAGCCCCAAGAUCCACGUGUUUUUUAAAGGGUUGGGAAAAUUGCUUCCUAAAUCUUUUCUUUUUUUCCCUUUUUUAAUUUCAUCCUAUACUCCUUUUUAUUUUAUUUUUACCCUUUUAUUUUAUUUUCUUACGUUUUGGUCCCCUGACCUACUAUUGACCUACCAAGGGAAUGACACGUAUGCUGGGUUGGGGAAAAUAACACCCUGGGUCCCUUUACUUUUUAUUUUAUUUUGAUUUAAUUCUUUGUUUUUUUUUGUUCUUUUAGUUUAUGCUUGGAAUUUCGUUUAGCUUUCAAUUUAGUCCUUUGCCUAUUUUUUAUUUUUUAUUUUUUAUUUUUUUUGUUAUUUUAUUAUUUUAUUUUAUUAUUUCCAACACUUUUAUUUUAUGAUUAUUUAUAUUUUUACCCCUCUCUAAAUUAUGUAAUUUUAUUUACAUCGUUGAGUAGUUAUUUUUUGUUUUAUUUUUAUUUUUGUCAUUAGAUAUGAUUAUUACUAUUAUUAUUAUCAAGUUAUAGUCAUUUACUGUUUUACCCUCAUUACCUUUACUACAAUUAAUUUAUUCUUUUAUUAUUAUUUCAUUAUAGUGUUAUUUCGUUUGUACCUAUGUAGCUAUUUUAUUUUUUACCAUUAUUUUAUUUUAUAUUUUGCUUACAUACACUCGUUCAUUUGGUACCAAACUCAAACAAAUUAAUUGCACAUCACAUUAAAUGUUAUAUUCGCUUUUACCCGACGCAUAGGAAAUAAUUAGAACCGAGACGAUGUUCUUUAAUUAGGGGAUUCAAGAAAUCGUGCCCUAACUUAUGGGGUACGACUUUCUCCUUAAACCGAAAUAAUCGAACAUCCUUUUAAAAUUCAGUACACAUAGGACUUAGGUAAUAAUUAAAUGGCGAUUAUUCUUGUUUUUGAGGAUUCGAGACCUCGUGCCCUAACUUACGGGGAAUGAUCUUUUCUUCUUGAUUAACUCGAAAUAAGAAGGCAUUUUCCAUAAAAUUUAAUUUAGUUAGCGAUAUUUUAACCAAAUAACAUCAUUCAAAAAAAUUGAUCGUACUUUAAAUUUUCUUUGAAUUCUCAAUUCUUGACACUAAGACAUCAAGUAAUCAACUAGAAACCAAUUUUGGGCAUUAUGAGGGUACUAAUCCUUCCUCAUGCAUAACCGACUCCCGAACCCAUUUCCUGGAUUUUGUAGACCAAAAAUAAUCGUUUUAGUAAAUCUAACCUUUUAUUAAAAUGAUCAAAUUAUAAGGUGAUCCGAUCACACCUAAUAAAAAGGAUUGGUGGCGACUCCAUUUUCAUUUUCUAAAAUAAAAAGUCGAUUUCCAAAAAGGUUUCGACAAUGUUAAUUUUAGUUCUUUUAUUUAAAAACUAUAUAAAGGUAUGAAAAGGCAAAAAGGUCAUCAAAAUAAUAUAGUAGUCAUUUAAUAAAAUGAUAUAUUAGUCAUUUCCUGACCAAGUUAGUAUCCGAUUAACUUGUGACACCAACUCAGUCAAGUAUUUUAUUAAUAGUAUAGAUAAAUCAAACAUGAAAUAUAAUAAAUAGAUUGUAAAAACAAAAUUAUUAAAAUACAUAAAACCAUUUUAAUUUUACACUAAUAUAAUUGAAUAUGUUUCCUUUAUCUAUACUAGUUAUUGUUGGAAAAUUACUACUGUAAAAAAAAACACAUUAGCACUAAUAAGUACAAAUAAUAAGGAAAAUAAAUAAAUAAAUAUUGCGUCGUGGAGAACCACUGCCUUAGAAGCGGUUUCGUCUUGAUCGAUGUAAUUGGAAAUGGAUGUUGCCCCUGCAUGUUAACACAAUGCUUCCAAAAUUUGUACAGCCGAAUGAGGAAGAUGGAACUCAAUUGGUAUUACUCUUUUUAAGUUUACGGGAAAUAAGAUCAAAAUAAGUUUAAAGACGGUCGAAAAAUUUGACCGAAAAAAUCACACUAGGAUCAAUUUCCAAGAAAAUUUAGAGGGGUCACAAACGGUAAUUUUUAGUAGAAUAACAAAAGCUUUCAGAGAAAAAAAAAUGAGGGAAAUGAGAAGAAUGAUAGAAGCUAGCCUCCUAUUUAUACUAUUAGGUGAAGGGCAAAAUAGUAAAAACACAAGACAAAAGAUAAAACUGGCAAAUCUAAUUUUAAAAAAAUAGUUCAAAAGAGAUAUUUUUUGUUUACUAGAUUUUCUUUAUUUUUUGAAAAAUAAUACAAAUUUUAUCCAAAAAUAAAUGUGUGGUACGUGUGCGGACACUGACACAUGUGUUAGGCAUUUAGUCAAUUACUAAAUGAAGGUAAGAAGUAAGGCUAUAUUUAAACCUUUCAUUAGCUUAUACACAGAAUAUGUUCUUCUUCUUCUUCUUUUAGAAUUCCUAUACCAUCUUAAAUCUUAGAGAUUAAAUAGAUUAUUUUAAUUUUAAACAUAAUUUGAUUUCUCUUCUUUUUUUUUUUUUUGAGUGGUUGGUUUCUUUAUUUCUAAAUAGUUAAUAGUUAACAAUUUCAAUCAAAAUGCUAAUAUCAACUUCCUUAAAUAAAAGAUAAUUAUUUUAUCAUGACAAAUUUAAAUGAGUGUUAUUAAGAAGAAAAAAAAUCUUAAUUAAUAUUUUUAUUAUUAAAUGAUUAUCAAGUGAAUAUUUUUUGUCAUUCACGCUAGAGAAUUUAAUAAAAGAAAUUUAAUGGUGGUAAUAAUUGUAUAAAAAUGAAAGAAGUAAAUGUCUAAAAGUAAAAAUAUGUUGAAAAUUUUAAUUUAUAAAUAAUCAAAGAAAUAGAAAGUGUGGGUGAAAAUCAUAUAUAAAAUAUAAAUAUUAUACUACAACUGAAAAACGUUAAAUUUGCGAAAAGAAAACCUGAAGAACGCUUAAUAGUACAACUGAAAAACGCGGGAGUAAUUUUCGUGGAAACCUACAAGUAAUGAGAAAAACAUGUCAAGAAAAAAUUUUGCUUUUUAAAUAAGAUACAGUUCAUUCCACUAAGGUUCUACUCAUUGGUUGUUGGGGAUGUAUGUAUCUUUUCCCACUAUCAAAUACUUGCCAAGCUCGAAAGCUGACCUCUAAAAAGCUUGACCAAACUUCCCCAAGUCCCUGAAAAAAUUAACUAUAAAACCCAGUUAGGGAAGAGAGGAAACAAUUGGGAGAUCAUAAAGGACUGAGUGGGAGGUUAAUAGAUCAGUAGAUAUGGAGAAAGCACUCAACAGGCAGAGAGUUUUGCUUCAUCAUUUACGACCCUCUUCUUCUUCUUCUUCUUCUCAUGAAUCUGCUGCUACUCUCUUUGUAAGCUUAAUCCUUUGCAUUAGAUUUUUUCUUCUUGUUUUUGUUUCUCCUUUCAUUUUAGAGAAUGGGUUUGAUUUCAUUUCAUCAGCCUUCAAAUUGUGCGGCUGGGGAUAGCGCUGCUUAUCACCGGACGGCUGCCUUCGGGGACGAUGUUGUGAUUGUGGCGUAAGUUGUUUUACAGUAUCCUUUUCUUCCCUACUCUAAAUCUUUAUUUUAUAAAUAUUUUUUACUUACACAGGGCGUGCCGCACUGCAAUUUGUAAGGCCAAACGUGGAGGCUUCAAGGAUACACUUGCAGAUGAUUUACUUGCCCCUGUUUUGAAGGUUAGAUGUUGCUUUUGGUUUUUGCGUUGAGCUGUCGUUACCUUGUUCCCUCCUAUCUUUAACUUAACUCUCCAUGGCAUGCAGGCUUUGAUAGAUAGAACAAAGUUGGACCCAAGUGAAGUUUCUGAUAUAGUUGUGGGUACGGUUUUGGCACCCGGCUCACAAAGAGGAAUCGAGUGUAGGAUGGCUGCAUUCUAUGCUGGUUUCCCUGGUAUGCCUCUUCUUUGAUUUCAUUUGUUAAUUGCUACUGGCAUGCUAGAUAUGGAGUCACCAAGGUGGUUACUUUACUAUGUUGAUAAUAGAGAUGUCAAAUGAAAGGCAUGCAUUGACUUCUAAAUUGUUGGUUUAAUUUACAUUUUACAGUCCCUUUUCAUAUACAUAUUGCUAAAAUAAUAACACUUGUCAACCAGAUACGGUGCCUAUUAGAACUGUCAACAGGCAAUGUUCAUCUGGCCUACAAGCAGUCGCUGAUGUUGCUGCUUCCAUAAAAGCAGGAUUUUAUGAUAUUGGUAAAGAUACUAUGCCUUAUCUAUGUAUAUGAAUGCUGAGACGGAUUUAUUUGAAUAUGAAUGGCAUUCACCUAGUUGGCUUUGAAUGAAGGCAUUGGUGCUGGAUUGGAGAGCAUGACAACUGACAAAGUUGUUCCUGGGGUUCCCAAAGUUAACCCAAAGGUAUUAUGAACAAAUAGUUUGUACUCACUAUCUAGGAUAUCUUUUACAUGGUAACAUGCAACUUGUUUUCACAGGUAGAGAGCUUUGCCCAAGCCCGGGAUUGCCUUCUUCCUAUGGGCAUUACUUCUGAAAAUGUUGCAGAACACUAUGGUGUGACACGGCAAGAGCAAGACCAGGCUGCUGUGAGUUCUGUGCAUUUACUUUUAUAUACUGAUAUAAGCUUAAUUAUUAUCAGUCUGAAACGCCUGCAAUUUGUUAACGUAGGUUGAAUCUCAUCGACGUGCUGCUGCUGCAACAGCCUCUGGUAAAUUCAAAGAUGAAAUUGUCCCUGUACUUACCAAGGUAAGUUUUGUGUAGUAAAUUAUUCUGGUUUAGGAUUGUUUUAUGAUGCUUGGUUAACUUGUUUUAAUCUGUAAAGAUUGUGGAUCCCAAAACUGGGGAAGAGAAGGCAGCCACAAUUAUGGUAGAUGAUGGAAUCCGCCCAAACACAAACAUGGCAGAUUUAGCAAAGUUGAAGCCUGCAUUUAAAAAGGAUGGAACCACCACUGCUGGUAUAUAUAAUCACAAAACUUGUGAAAUUCUGAGAACAACAAUAUGCAGUUGUAUGAAACUUGUGUUACAGCUUGCAACAUUUUUUUUUCUUAGGAAAUGCAAGCCAAGUAAGUGAUGGUGCAGGUGCAGCCCUCCUUAUGAAGAGAAGUUUGGCUAUGCAAAAAGGAUUUCCAAUCCUCGGCGUUUUCAGGUAAUGAGAAUUUAUGGACUGAUUACCGUAGGAGAAUUUUAGGUAGGAGUGGAUAUAUAAAUUCACAUUUGUAAGCUGAUCACACUGCUUGUUUUUGCUCCUUUUUUUAUAGGAGUUUUGCUGCUGUUGGUGUGGAUCCUGCUGUGAUGGGCAUUGGCCCUGCUGUUGCUAUACCGGCUGCUAUAAAGUCUGCUGGUCUUGAGCUUGAUGAUAUAGACUUGUUUGAAAUAAAUGAGGUGAUGGGUUUCUUUAGUUGAUUUUUAUUUUGAGGGUGAAUCAAAUUUAAGCCCUCCUUUCUUUUUCUAAUUAUGCAAUAUGUAUUUUGCCUCAGGCAUUUGCAUCCCAGUUUGUAUACUCUUGCAAGAAAUUGGGGCUUGAUCGUGAAAAGGUCAAUGUUAAUGGAGGUGCAAUAGCCCUUGGGCAUCCUUUGGGUGCUACAGGUACUUAAAAAAACAAUUGCCCUGGUUAUCCAACCUGGUUGCUGCAUGGAAGUGCACACAAGCCAAUACACAGAUAAACAGUAUUACUGUAUAAACAUGUAUUAAGUUUUGCUAUACACUAUUCUAUGUAUCAGGAGCUCGAUGUGUGGGAACUCUAUUGAAUGAGAUGAAACGUCGUGGGAAGGACUGUCGCUUUGGAGUGAUCUCAAUGUGCAUAGGUAUCCUUAUCCUUCUCUCCCCCUCUAACCGAGGAUUGAACUGAAAUGUUAAGCCUGGUUCAUUUCCUUUCUUUAUCCGAAUCUCUUGUCAUGCAGGCAGUGGAAUGGGGGCCGCUGCUGUUUUCGAAAGGGGGGACUGCGUUGAUGACUUCUGCAAUGCUCGAGCUGUCCAAAAAAACGACCUUCUCUCCAAGGAUGCUCGAUAGAGAUGUUUGUUGGUAUCUUAAAUGUUUGCUUUAUGUAUUCAAUAAAACUUUGGCAUAUUCCCAAGCAAAAGUUAGAUAAUCAUGUCGAUUUCAAGAUCCUUGGAAUGGCUUUAUUCUUCUAUACUAAAUGUUCAUGUUUGCUUAUUAGCCAUAGAUUAUUCCUAAGAACGCAGAAGCUAGUGGAUUACCAAAGCAUUCAACUUGAUCAUAUAGUUAAAAUUGAAUUAGAGAUACAGACGUCGAAUCACAGUUAUGAUUCGCCUAAUCAAAUCAUUAACCAUUACAGUAAUUGUGUGACCAAUUCUGUCCUAUAAUGAAACCUGGGGAAUCUUACAGUGAUUAAGGUCUAAAUGAUAAGAGGUUUCCUUCUAUGCCAGAGUUCUCUCUGAAGCUGAGAAUUUGAUAACAUUGAAAGGGAAGAACCUAAAAACCAAAAGAGCUGACAGCCUCAUUGUGGAUCAGGUGAGCCUCCUGGGACCAGCUGCAAUGUACAAAAAAGAAUUAUUAUGAGAAAUUUAGAUAGUGGAAUUCAUUGCAAUUCUUCAUGUUGGGCCGCAUUUGGUUUCUAUAGUUCAAACUGAUACAUUUGCCCCUAGUUGGCGAUCUACAGUUCUACACUUCAUGUGCUUAACCAUAUAAUGCAAUCCUCAAUAAAUAUGCCAAACCUAAGUACAGUGUGAUCUUAAGAAGUGUAUUAACUAGGUCACAAAUCAUUUAAACUUACAAUGGCAAUGUUAUUUCCAUUAAGCAAAAUUUGAUCAAGCUUCGUGAUCCGUCUUCCCUCAGUAGUGAUCUCGCUGUGAUGCAACAGAAACGAAAAAGCAAUCAAGACCAACACCAGUGAUAAACAUUCUCCAAUUACUUACGUAUACAAGCAUCGGGAAAAUCUGUUGCCAGGCCAAUACAAGUCAAUCAAAAGAGCACAUCUUCUCAUUAUUUUCAAGCACAUGAGUAAGAAAAUCAAACACCUUAUCACUCUCGAAUGAAAAAAGAAACAUCACAUAGUAAAAUAAAUGUGAAAAAAAAGUACAACCAAGCAAUGAAUAUCAAAUUGGAAGCAAUGUAGUUAGCUAAGUGAGCAGACAUCGAGCCCAAAAACAUUGGCUACAUAGAUUGCUGGUUCUUGAUAUGUUCCGAGGAUGCCAAUGAUACAAAUUUAUCAGAGAUCAAAAUGGUUUGCUGAAAAACCAAACUCUGACAGAAGGCACCAAUGUUGUGAAGAAAACUACUUCUAAAUCACACCCUAUCAGAACAAACUUUUAAGCCAUCUCACUUUCUCCGGUUACCACCUUGCUACUGAGAAAGAAUUCAAACAUUGAACCAAAAGAUGAAAAGCAAAUCUUAAAUUCAUCGGAAUAUUCAGGGCAAACAAAAGUCAUGGGACAAAGAGGGAUACCAUAAAUUUGAAAUUUGUUUAAAUACAUGAAACAAUGGCUAAUACCCAGAAACCAAAACUCCAACUUGAUCUCUUGCCCGUCACUUCCCUAACACGAUUGUACAUAAAACCCUAACACACACAAGGGAAAUCAAAGCCUAGAUAUGAUGUCUAAUCUAUAUCUAAACAUUCAAAGAGAGAAAGGGGAGAGAUUUACUAUUCGGUGACAUCUUCAAGGACCAUGUUAACGUAGACAUCGAAGCCUCUGAGAGUACCCACGAGCUCUUUGUCACCUUUCAUUAUCACCCAAAUUUUGGACCCUAUGCACCUGUCUAUCAACUCUGUAAACACAAAGCAAGCAAACCCAAAUCAGAAUUUAAUCCAACUUUCUCGAGAAAUUUAAGGGAAAGUGAAAGAAAAACUGUCACCUGAAGGAAGAAGCUGUGAGGGAUUGUUUGCCAUUGCUUUGAGAGAGUUGUUCACUCAGAAGUAAAGCUCCCAAUUGUUUGAUUCAAGUUUUCUGUAAUCGUAAUGAAACGAGUUACUAAUACUAUCCGUAUGUCAAACAGGCCCUGUCGACCCAAUGGACGUCAAAUUUUGCCCGACCCAGCACCUCCGGGCCAGCCAAGCACGGCCCUUUAUCAACCGCUAAGCACUGACGAAAAAUAUUUGUUACUUUUUAUGUCUAUUUUUACGAAAAAUAGUUUGAUGAUCGGAAUUUUUAAAAUUGUCUCCGGAAAACAUUCAAUCAAAAGUCAACUCAUCCUGUCAAAGCUUUAUUCAACUCUUUUGAGACCUCCUAAAUCGACAGCUCCUUGAUUUUUGGCCAAGGUUGCUUUAACUAACUUAAUUCUCUUGAUAAUAUUAUUAUGAGAUAUUAUCUUUUAGUAAUUUGUUUCUUAAUCAAUAUUAUAUAAUAUUAUUAUAGAAUAUUAUUUUUUAUUAAUUUAAUUUUUAUGUAACUAUUAUUGUAUAGAUAUAUAUAUACUCUUGAGAUCUAUUAAUAAAAUUUAAUAGAUUACCCUAUUUUUGUCAUGGCAUAUGAGUAAGGUUUUUUACACAAUUUUUUCUUUCAUUAUUCUAAAUGGCUAGCGGCGAGUCUUCUCCUCCUCCACCACCACCAAGGGAGGCGACCCUCCCUGGUUUUACCAUUGACCAAUGGCAGUCUCUUCUAGCGGUGUUCGAUAAUAAACAAUCAACCUCCACUCAGUUGAAUGGUAAGUCCAAGAAUAAUUGGAUUAUUGAUAUGGAAUGUUCAAAUCACGUUGCGAGUGAUCUUAUGUGUUUGACGAAUGUGAGAGAUGUUGUAGCAUGUUCCGUAGAACUCUCUGAUUGCCAAAUAGUGGUGGCUACCCAAAAAGGAAUGGUUAAAUUGACAGGCAAAAUUUAUUUAAAAUAAGUUCUUUACGUUCCUAAACUAAACUACAAUUUAAGUAUUUUUGGGAACGAUUCCGCUGCUUUGAAAACUUUUAAGGGGUAUCUUAGUUCUUGCUUCCAUAUGAAUGAUCUUGGUGUUUUGAAAUAUUUUUUGGGAUAGAGGUAGCUCGUAGCUUAUAGCUCUUUGGGGUUGUUUCUUUAUCAAAUGAAAUAUGUACUUGAUAUUAUUUCGGAGGUGGGUCUUUUAGGAGCAAAGCCCAUAUGAUCGCCAAUAGAGCAAAAUCAUAAAUUAGAGCAUGCUACAGGGACAAUUUUGUCUGAUCCUGAGUCGUACAGAUGGUUAAUGGGUCAUUUGAUUUAUUUGGCAGUGACCAGACCUGAUUUGACAUACUCGAUUCAUGUCUUAUCCCAGUUUAUACAUGAGCCGAGGCAGGAGCAUUGGGAUGCGACUCUACGUGUUGUCUGGUACUUGAAAGGCUCUAUUGGCCAAUGGAUUCUUUUGAGAUCUGAUAGUGAUUUAUCCUUGAAAGGAUGGUGUGAUUUGAAUUGGGCUACUUGUUUAUUAACUCGACAUUUGCUAUUGGUUGGCUUGUCUUUCUAGGACAAUCUCCUAUUUCCUAGAAAACUAAGAAACAACAUAUUGUUUCUCGUUCUUCUGCUGAGGUUGAGUAUAGGUCUAUGGCUUCUGUCACUGGUAAGCUCAAGUGGCUGAAGGCCUUGCUAUUGAGCUUAGGUGUUCAUCAUCUUAAAGCAAUUCUUUUAUUUUGUGAUAGUCAAUUUGUGCUACAUAUUGCACAGAAUCUCAUAUUUCACGAGCGUACUAAACAUAUUGAAGUGGAUUGUCACUUUGCUAGAGAUGCAAUAUAGGAUGGGUUGAUUGCACCUUCUUAUGUUUCAACCUCUGUUAAGUUAGCUAACAUUUUGUAACAACACAUUUUUAGUGGUGUCGGAAACAGUGGUUUCAGGACCACGAUUCCAAAAAGCGAGUCGGUGUUUUAUUAUUUAUUAGAGUCAUACUAAAAUUCAAAUAAGAAAUUUUAACGUUUAGAUAGUUAAUUAAUUAAAAAGGACUAAAUCGUAAAGGAAGUAAAAGUUGGUCUCCACUAACUAAAUGUAUUAAACAACUAGAUAAUGUAAAUCAAAUGGACUUAAUGGGUAAAUAAACCAUGAAAUUAGAUAGUAGACAAUUAUGGACAAGGUUUGGUUGAAAUUUAAAGUUAAUGUUGUAAGGGUAAAAUAGUAAAAUGUGAAAUUAAAUAACAUUAACAAAAUUAAGUGAUCAUCUUCUCCAUUUGUGCGUUCUUUGACCGAACACCAUAGCCAAAAGGUUAGCAAACUUUCGGCCAAGCUAAUUCCUUGCAUGGUAAGUGAUUUUUAUUUUGUUUCUAAUUAUUUUUGUGUUUUUGUGAUUGUAUUAGCUUAAAUUAGCUAACCCAGGGGUCAAUUCAUAAAAUUGUUAAAAUUAUAGGGAUCUACCAUGAAUGAAUUGAAUAUGUUUUGAACUUAGUUGAUAGAUUACUAAGGUUAGUAGCUAAAUAUAAGUAUUUUGUUAAGUGAUUUUUGGUAAUUUUAAUGUUUAGGGACUUAUUUGUGAAAAUAGUAAAAUUUCAUGUAAACAUUGUGAAAUGGUGAUAAAUAUGGGCUGUAAUGGAUCCCUAUGAAAAUCGACUAGCAUGAAUUUUAGUUAAUUGUGGUUAAAUUGCAAGUUUCGGGUUUAUAGACUAAAUUGCAUAAAGAUAAAAUGUUGGGGUAAUUUUGUAAAAUGAUGAUGGAUUGACUUAAUUGUAUAAAAUGGCUUAUUUGAGUGUUGGAAUGGUAUUAAUUGAAUGAAAUUAUUAUUUAGAUUAAGAAACAAACCAAUCGGAUUUAGAUCAAAGAAAAACUAAAGUUUCGGACUAGUCGUCGAAUCUGUUUUUGCAACCGUUUUGGUCUAGGUAAGUUCGUAAGUUAAUUUAGUAGUUAAUUAAUUGAUGUUUUGUAAUUCAAUGAUUAUCUAUAUAUAAUUGGUUCGUCAAAUUCCUUGGAUUGAGAAACGAGAAAGACCAUAAUUGAAAGGUAUCACGAUAUUUAAACCGAAAUAAUAAGACCAUAGUUGAAAGAUAUUAUGGCACUAAACCAAAAAUGCGUAAGACCAUAGUUGAAAGAUACUAUGGCAUUAAAGUCAAUAUGAAUAAGACCAUAGUUGAAAGAUAUUAGGGCAUUACAUCGGUAACGAUCAAAACCAUAGUUGAAAGAUACUAUGGCACUAUUUCGGGAAUGCAUAAGACCAUGGUUGGAAGAUACCAUGGCAUCCUUUGGAAUAAUGAAUUAUUCGGCAAGGUACACCAUUGGAGUGAAUACUUCACUGAACUAUCGAGGUUUGUUGUACGAAAAUGAAUCAAAUGAUCAUAUAGAUGAUUUAUGACUUAAUGCAUAAUUAAGUUAAAUAAUCUUGAUUUAGCAAUUUAUGUUACAUUCUAUAUGAGCUUCCUAAGCAUAAUUUGCUUACGUUGUCUGUAUUUUUCUAUUGUAGAUCUUGAGAAGCUUUGAUAGUUGGAAGAUCGAGUCGGAGCACACACACUAUCCGUUCAUCAUCUCGGUAGAUGUUUUGAUCUUUUGAUGUAGGUUAUAAAUGGCAUGUACUAGGAAUUUUUAAGCUAUUUUUGUCAAUGUGAUGAUGUUUUAACCUUCUUUUAGCUACUUGUACAUAUAUGGCUUAGUUUUGGUUCAAAGUUGUAUAAAAGAUGGUGUUUUGGCAUCUUAAUUUCAUCUACUUAUAAAUGGUUAUAAUAUGUUUGUGGUAGACAUAAAUGGUAAGAAUGAAUGAUAAGUGUGGUAUGUGUUUAUGGUUGAAUAUUAUAGUUUGAAUGCAAAGUAGCUUGGUGUGAUAUAUGAGUUUGAUUUGGAAAUUGAAUUGUGGUGUCAAUUAGGGCACAUUGGUUAAGCACCUAGGUUGGAUUUUUGGUAUAUUAUAAGUUUGUUUGAAUUAGUUUUGAAGGCAUGAAAAUGGUUGUUUUUUGUUGUGGCUUCGUAUCUAAGAAAUGGUAUUGUUUUGGCUUAUUUUGGAAGACAUAUUUGGUGCACACGGCCUGGGACAUGGGUUGUCACACACCUGUGUGUCUUAUUGAUUUUCAAGUGCAGGUUGGUCCACACAGUCACAGAGAGUUAUAUGGCCUAGCGACACAGUCGCGUGACCUUAUUUCGAAUGCACACACGAUCUGGCACAUAGUCUACGACAUGACUGCGUAAAGCUAUUUUGAAUACCCAUACGGGCGGACACACGAGUUGGGACACGACCGUGUGUCCCAUAGUUCAAAUGUUAUACGGCUGACCACACGACUAUGUUUUGAAUUCGUGGUUUUGUCACACAGUCGUGUGACCCUGUUUCUAAUUUUUUCAAAAUUUUCUAUUUUAUUUCAAAUUAGUCCCUAAUUGUUCCCAAACUAUUUUUAAGGCCUUAUAGGUGGAAUGGAAUGUUAAUAUUUUAAAUUGGUAAAUUGUUUCUAUUUGAUGUUAAUUGUUUUGAUUUGUACGGUAAUACUCUAUAACCCUAAUCCGACGAAGAAAGCGGAUUAGGGGUGUUACACAUUUUUACAAAGUCGUUUGGUAAACUUCAAUUUGAAUAUCUUCUCAGCAAGUUGGGCAAUUAUGAUUUGCAUGCUCUAACUUGAGGGGGUGUUAGGGUAUUAUUAUGGGAUACUAUCUUUUAACAAUUUGAUUCCUAAUAAGGUGUUAUAUAAUAUUAUUAUGUGAUAUUAUCUCUUAGCAAUUUGAUUCGUAAUGGGAUAUUAUAUGAUAUAUUAUCUUUUAGCAAUUUGAUUCCUACGUAACUACUACUGUAUAGAUAUAUAUAUAUACCCUUGAGGUCUAUCAAUAAAAUUCAAGAGAUUACCCUAUUCUUAUCAAACUCCAAUAAGAACAUUAUAAGAGAGAAGUCUUUUGCUUGUCAACUUGUUACCAUGUUGGUUCUUUUUCAUGGCUCUACUAGACCACUUCUUAUUGGUGAAAGCUUGAACUCUGCACCUGCUACUAAUAAUGCAGCUACGGUUGUUACUCAGCCAUUUCUUCUUUAAUUGAGAGCAAUAAUGAUCUGCGUUUUUUCUUUGCAAAUAUAUCCCAUAAUCCAAAUCAUGCAGUGGUUGAAGUUGAUGAACCAACUCAGAAAACUUUGGAACUUCCAAACAAUCAGCCUUUUUGCCUAUGCUAUUAGAGAACACCAGUUUACCUGAAGAUGCAGACAACAAUAUCCAUUCAUCCAAUCAUGAUAGUGGUACAAAACAUAAAAGAGAUGUACACGAGAGUGAUAAACAUGCAAAUUCUGAAGAUUGAAGUCCAAAUGUCUACAAUGGCUAUUAGAAGUGGAUCAAGAUGGACCUAUAGUGACUCUAUGAUAAGGGCUUAAAAGGGUUGGUACGUUAGGAUUUUGUGUCAUUAUUGCAAUGAUUUCGUCAUUAUACUUGUCAAUUUUCAAAUAGAUUGAUUAAAUAAAAUUUUAUAAUUAAAUUAUUAUAUUUAUAUUUUGUUCUUAAUGAAUUUUGCAUAAAAAACAAAAUGAAUUAAUAAAUAUCAAUUUAUUGAUUACCUAAGUUUAAAUUAAUAUUAGGUUGUAUUAUAGGGAUAAAUCAUAAUGCCAAAAAUAAAACUUAUAUUUGUAGGUAAUUUAAGUUGUUUGUAAUUUAAGGAAUCAAAACGAGUAAUUGUGUAAAAUCUUGAAAUUUGGGGUUAGAAGUUUUGAGGUUUAUGGUUAGGGUAAGUGAUAGGUUGAGCAAUUGUGUUUAUUUUCGUGUUUUAACGUAAGAAUGAGUCUAUUGGUUUGGUGGUUGAGUGUGUUGCUAGUUUGCCUUGGUCCUGUGUUUAAAUCCCGAUGUGAGAAAUCAGAGAAUUUUAUUUUUGGGGUUUUUUAGUAUUAAAUUAACUUUAUUUAUUCUCUUAAUUAGAUUUUUUUAUUUUUACUUUCUUUCACAUUAUCCUAUUUUUCCUCUCUUUCUUUCACACGUUGGUUUUCUUUUUGUUUCUCUUAUGUCAGUAUCAUUUUUUUUUCUUUUUUCUUCUUUUGGCUAUUAUGCUUUCCUUUGUAUCCUAGUGGUCGUGCAUUAAAGUUUUGAUUUUGGUCUUUCAAUAGAGGAAUUGCAUAAUUAGUUUGUUUAAAUGCUGAAUCAUGUAAGUGUUUUCGAAUUUUAAUUUAGAUUCUUGAUUCUUUAUUUGUUGAUAAAGCUUUUAAAGUAGUUGUGUAUUUCGAAAUUGAGUUUCAAAUUGGUUGAGUUCAGUCAAAUCGACUGGUUUCCGAUUUUAGAAUUGUGUUCUAAAGUGUAUUUCUGAACUAUAUUGUUUGUGGGUCAAUUUAUUGGUUGAAAUUCUCUUUUUUAAAUUGUUUCGGUAUGGUUUGGUAACCACACGGGUGACCACAAUGGCGUGUGCUACACACAUGAGAUUCACACGGUCGUGUGAUUUUGGGAAUUAGGGUUUUUAGAUGAUUUUUGGUGACACACGGUUGUGUAGUUGAUAUUUGGGGAUUAUUAUCGAUUUGCACACGGGCGUAUAAAAUUUCCACACAGCCGUGCCUGCCCUGCACCUUAUUUUGCCAAUUUUGGACAGUGAGUUACACGAGCUGUUCACACGGCCAUGUAACUCGGUCACACAGGCAUGUGUCUCCUUCACACGAGCGUGUAGACCCCCGUACGACCUAGGCCAUUCCACACGGCCGUGUGACCCUGUUUCGCAAAUUUUUAUCCUGUGUCGUAUUUUGAACUGUUCUAGUUCUUAUGUAGUCCAACGUUCAUUGAUGCCUCUAUAAAUGUGUUGGGAUUCUAUUUUCCGCUUAGAUUCGAGUGUGUGUUUGCAAAUAUAGGAUUUAAGUUAAUUGUUUGUUCAUGUGUUUAGAUGAUGUGAUAAAUGAAUUAAGGUAUUUUUUAUAUCGUAAAACUAGUAAAACCGAUUCUGAAAUUGACUGACUGAAUAUGAGCUUCUGUGUCUUUGAGUCUGUUAGUGUUUGGUGUGCAUUCAUACAUUUGUAUAAAAUUGGGGGUUUUUGGUUGCGAAGAGAAGGAAUAUUGAUUUGGGCAAAUUUAACUGCAAUAUUUAUGUGCAGCGAUUUAUUGCACUAUACUAUCCGUAUACCAGCUCAGUUGUAUACUUUUACUCGAGUGACUUAGUUCCACUAUAUGUGAUGUGUAGGUUGGAUGAAUCUAUUGUGGUUCUAUGUGGUGUGUAGGGUGGACGGGCCUUUUGUAUCCCUUAUAUGGUGUGCAAGGUAGACGAAGAGAUUUUAUCAAAAAAAAAAAGGUAGACGAAGAGAUGUUUGGUUGGUUGGUUGGUUGUAAAUUAAUGUGAAUAGUCUGGCGUGUAAAAUAUACCAUUAUGCUGUGUGUGUAUGAUUACUGGAAAUUACUUGUAAGAUGGAGUACUGAUACUUGUUGUCCGUUCACUGUUUGUGUGCACAUAUUAAAUAUUCAUUUUGAUACUUUGCCUGUUGCUUUUGUUUAUAAUUUCAGACUCACACUGAGCUCAUGUAGCUCAUUCCUUAGUUUCCUCUCUUUCAAAUAAAUUUUGUGUUAGAAGAUGGACUCGACAGCAGAAGGUUUCAAAAAGUUUGGUUUGAUUCGGUUUAGUUAAAACUUUCAUAAGUCUAUACGAUUGGUUUUAAGAUUUUUUGUAAAGCGAUUAUAUAAAUUGUGGUAUGGGUUAAGGUUUGAACUUUGCGUUAAGCUACGUGAUUUCGAUUUUGAACAACAUAUUUUUCGCACAAUUUCUAAUUUGAAAUUUCGAGAUACAUUUGGCAACAUUGAUGCAUUUUUGAGAGUACAACAAGAAAUUCCUAAAUGUUUUAACACCACUUAAUUGUGGUUUUGAACCAUAAAUUGUUAAACAAUUAGUACGAUUUUAGCAAACUGUAUUCGAAAUGAGUUCUAAACAUUUCUUUUUAUAAAUUGCUUUUGGAUCACUUCGAUGGUCAAUGUAACCUCCGAGAUUCGAUCAAAACUUUUGAGCCGAAUUUUAGGGUGUUACAAAUUGUUUCGUGAGACAAUUAUUUUGUCUAUUAAGUCCAAUUGGAGAGACACCUUAUUUUAAGUAUCAGAGCAAAUGAGAUAUGAUUAUUCAAAUUGAAAAUAUAUUUAGACAUGACUCAAGUUGAAUUUAUCCUAAAUACGUUUAUAAAUUUAUUCACUUAUGAUAAUCAUGGUGUGACUUACGUCAUUUUUGAGUCAGUAAAUAACAAUAUGUACCUAACUCAUAUACUUUGAUAUACUGAAAGCUUGCAUUCCAUUGGUCUUGGAGUCGAAAGUUGGUAUGUUGAAUAUGUUAUUUAUGUAUGACAUGAUUUCGCUCACAAUAGUAAAAUUCAUAGCUCAAAGAAAGAGUAAAUAGUAUCAUCUCACCAACAUUACAUAGAUUAUGAAAAAGGAACAUGUCUGUGUAUUGUUCAUCAAGGAUAAAUUAUUGUUAUUACUUUUUGUUAGUAAUAAUAUUUUUCAUUAUGAAAAAUGCAAUGGUAAUCAUAUUGGGCAAACAAAUUUAACCCAAAGAUAUUAAGUAUAUUACACUAAUGACAAGGUCAUUGGAGAAAAACAUAAAUCUAAGUUGUUUUUGUAAUGGUAUAUAAUGAGAGAUUAGUCAAGGUGCUUUUGGAUUGGCUUCAUGACUAAAUAAUGUUAUAACUAAUAAAUGAAGAGUCGAAACUUGAUUACAGAUUAUUUAAAAUCUAAUUAUAUAUGUUUCAUAGAUCCUUUCGUUAGCUCAAUACAACUCUGUAUGGAAUGCAAUUUAAAACUGUUAUGAUAAAUGAAUGAAAACGAUGAAUGAGAAAUAGAUUUCAUGAAUUACAAUUCACAAGAUAUUCAUUUUCUCAAUAGGAACAAAAGAUGACUUAAAAAUCAAUUAAUAUCUUUGGAUUAUUAUUUACUUGAAUGUAAUUAAAUAAUUGAGUUCAAAGCAAGAAUUAAAUUAUUUACUCAUCAUAGUUUUACUAAAUAGGUCAAUUAAAUUUAUUUGGCUAAAGGGGUAUAUAGGCCCUUAAACUUUCGCGAAAAAAUCAAUUAAGCUCUUCCACGAAAAAUGCUCUCAAUUAAGCCCUCAAGCUCUCAAAUUGCAUCAACUUUUUACCAAUAUUUUUCGCCUUUGAUCAUUAUAGUGCUGACAUGGUCAUUAACGGUGUUGACAUGGCACUUCAUGUCAGCAAUUGCUGAUGUGGCAAUACCACUUCAGCUGUCACAUUAGCAAAACAUAAAAAAAAUUCAAAUUUUUUUUUAAAAACAAAAAACUUGAAAGAAAAUUUUUUAUUAUUGGAAUUGUCCAAAUUCAUUCAUUUUAGAACUUAACUUUAAAAUUUAAAAAAAAUAUUUUUUAAAUAAUAAAUUUGUAAAAACAUUAUUAAAAUUUAUAAAGAGUACUAAAUAAAAUUAAAAAAAUUAAAUAUUAAUAAAAGUCAUUUAAAGAUGAAUAUGAACCUAUGGUUGUCCAAGUUCACAUUGAACCUGAACAAUAUGUCCAGAUUCAAUGUUAACUCCAUUUCCAAUCUAAUGCAUAAGCAAAACGGUGGUAUAAAAUCAACAUUACGCCUUGUCUAAUGCAUUGCCCUGAUAAUACAUGCACUGUCACAUGUCACAUACAACUCUACCCUUAAAUGAAGGUCCAAUUUAGAGAAGUAACACCAUAUUGAUCCAAGAUGAUGCUCGGGUGCUUAAAGCGAAGUAUUAUCCUCAAUCAGAUUUUAUGCAAGCAAAUUUAAAGCAUGGUGCUUCGUACACUUGGACAAGCAUCAGCUCAAAAAGUGUUAGAAGACGGGAUGUGUUGGCGAGUUCGAUGGGGUGAUAAAGUUUCAAUUUGUAAUCAUGCUUGGUUACCGAGUUUGAUUAAUUAUAAAUUAAGCAACGCAGUUCGAAACCUUGAUGUUUCUAUAUUUUCCGAUCUAAUUAAGAGAACUUUUAGUGAGUGGAAGAGAGAGAUUAUUACCAAUACCUUUGCAGAUGUUGAUGUGGCCAGGACACUUCUAAUCCCGCUGGCAGCGAAUCCUCAGCAGGACGUGAUGGUGUAGGGAGGUGAGUCCUCAGGAGAGUUCUCCGUUAGGAGUGCUUACAAAUUUUUACAGACAAGUAUUCCUAUUCCUAUCCUAGAUGAAUUACAAAAUGCAGCUAGAGAAUUUUACAAGCAACUUUGGGGCUUAAACCUACCAUCUAAAAUCAAGAUUACAAUAUGGCGUAUUUCAAAAAAUUCUUCCCUAUGCUAUCAAAUAUGCAUUACAAAAGACUAGUUGCCGAUAUGAUGUGUCCAAGAUGUGGGGAGGGUGCUGAAACUAUGAAUCAUGUUUUUAGGAGUUGUCCUGUUACAAAGGAGAUAUGGGUGUUAGUUGGUUUUCCUGGGAUCUUAUUAAAUUCAAUACAGGACAUGUUCGAGUAGUUUACUUGGGUUUUCAACAACUGCUCAGUACUUCAACGCGUAUCAUUCUAUUGUGGUCUGUGGGUCUUGUGGACUGCAAGAAACAAAUUUAUGCAUGAACAUUGUGCUAAAUCGGCGGUUGACACAUCAAGGUUCAUUCAAUGAUACAUUAAAGAAAUAGAAGGCGUCAAGGAAAAGGAGGUUGCCCGGAAGGUGAUCUAUGCAAAAUGGAAGCCCCCUUCAGGAAUAUGCAUCAAACUUAAUUUUGACGCAGCCUUUGAUAAGGAUUUUUUCAAAUCUGGGACGGGGAUUGUAGCCAAAAAUGCGCAAGGGCAGGUGAUUGCAUCACGUUUAAUACUCCACUCAAACGUGGGCUCAGCAUUUGUAGCAGAAGCCCUCGCAUGUUCAUGGGCAGUUAAAACGGGGUUAGAGUUGGGGGUUACAGAAGCAAUUAUCGAAGGCGAUUCUCUAACGAUUAUCAAGAAAUGCAAUAAUAUGUCCCAAGAUAAGUCUGAAAUACGAGCUCACAUCCAGAAUAUACAGUAUCACAGUAGCAGAUUUCUCUCCAUACAGUUUAAACAUGCUAAUCAACUCGCACAGAGAUUAACAGUUGAAAGUUUGAGAAAUGGAGAGGAGUUUUACCUGGAAGGAGCGGUCCCGGGCUUCGCAAGGAGAACGAUGGAGGAAGAGUGGAUUCGUGAACCAGAUUGAAGGAAUAAUGGGGAAGUGUCUUGAUCCCUAAGGAGCAGAAAUGAGAAAAAUCAUUUCUGUGAAAAUAGGAUUCCCGAGGAAUGGGCUGACUUUUGUUUAUUUUUUAAAAUUAUUUUGCUCUGCGCCGGUGAGUGCUAAGGCUCCUAGUGGAUUUCCUUUAUUAUCAUAAAAAGGAGAAAGAAAUACACCAAACAAAAUUUAUAAUUUAAAUUCAACGCUUAAUUUUUUAAUAUAACAUCUUAUUGUUAAUAAGAUUUCAUUUUAGUUUGCGGCAAAAUCUCGAUAAUAUUGAAUACACAAAACUAAUUGUACAAGGAAGUUGCAAGAAAUUGUGUGCACCCAUAUAUAUAUAUAUAUAUAUUACAUUUGAAAUAAUAUUAAAAUAUUAACAUUUAUAACAUUGCUAAAAUAAAAUAUAUAUAUAAUUUUUUCAACCAAACAAUAAAAGUCAUUUAUAUUGAAUUAUCAAAACUUUUUGUUGAAGAAUAUUUCUAUAUUUAACUCUCUUUAUAAUAAUCGUACUUGCUUACCAAAAUUUUGUUAGAAAAAGAUUCUAUUUUACGCCUAUAACAAUAUUUGGUGUUUUGAUUAUUGAUUUUCUAAUUUUCACAUUAAAAAUUAUAAUAUAUUAAUAAUAUUAAGCAAUGAGAUUUAGAUGAUAUAUUUAAUAAAAUUUAAAAUGUAAUUUCAUUUAUUAAUAUUAUUUUAAUUCUCAAAAAUAUUUUUUAUUAAUAAAAUGUCAUUAAUAUAUAUUUUUGUAAAAAAAACAUUUUAUUGAAAUAACAUUUUAAUUAAAUUUUAUUAUUUUUUAAAUAAAAUAAAUUUUACUAAAAUUUGAGAAAAUAAACUAUUAUAGAAAUAUCAUCCUCUAAGUAGCCUAGUGGAGGUAUUGUACUCAGGGUGUCUAUGCUCGAUUUUAGCCCCGAGUUUUUGUCUUCCUACUACAGAUAAAGGCUGAACAAGUUCAUGGAGUUUCAACCGAAGCACCUAGGUUCAUCAAUGAAAUGUUUUAUCACUAGUGUUCUUACCUUCUAAAACCCUUUAAGGGCUUGGGUUCAAACCUUAUCAAGGCCAAAAUGAUAAAAUAGUUCUUUGGUAGACUCUAGGAGUUCUCCGUAAACUCCUUUAGGCUCUCCUCGAAGUUGGGCUAAAACUGAGUAUAUAGACACCUAGGGAACAAUGCUAAUUGUUCGAGGUUUAGAUUGACUACUCAAAAGACUACACUUCAAAAACUUCUUCCAAUAAGAGAGUCGAGUCCUCCAAUAAUAGCUAACUAUAUUUUUGAAUAAGCAAUUUUUUAAGCGAAUCUAUACUAUUAUGCUUUUUUUGUAAUUCUUAACAAUAAUGACUAAAUUAUCAAUAAAUGCCAUUUUUUUUAAAAAAAAUUACUAUAUUAGGUCAUUUUUUGGAAGAACUACAAGAAUAGGUCGAUUUACAGAAGGUGAAAUUCAGAAAAACGUCUAAGUGGAAGCGUUUUCAAGUGAUUUACAAAAAAACACUUUCAGCUGGAAGCACUUUCAGCCACAUCAGCACUAAAAGUGGCAACACCAAUGUUUUUUUUUUUUAAAAUUUUCUGGUGCCACCUAGUAAUGUGGAAAUGAAACUUACAAAAUAGGUCUUUAUAUAGAUCCCUAGUCUCAUUUCCCUUGUUUUCUUAAUGUGGGAUGUGGGAUAUGGGUAUAUAUAGACUCAUAAUCCAUUUGCAGCUUGUUUGUAGACAAUGUGAAAUUGCUUACUCUUUCAACUAACAAUAUAAUAUUAAAGACUAUACUUAAUUUUUAAUUUAGAUUAAAGGCUAUAAUUAAUUUUUAAUUUAGAUUAAAGACUAUACUUAAUUUUUAAAAAUUAAAGAUAAAAUUUUAUAUAACAUUAAACUCUAACAAAAUAAAAAAUUAUAAACUCUUAUACAAAUAUUAUAGUUAAAAGACAGUCCAAUAAAAAAAAAUCUAGAUGCGUUUUUUUUAAUUUCACCUAAAAACGCUUUCGUAAAAUUGGCCUAUUCUCAUAAUCCUUCCAAAAAACAGUCUAAUAUGAUAAAAUUUAAAAUAUUUUGACAUUUAUUAGUAAUUUAAUCCAAUAAUAAUUAAUUUUAAUUUUAAUUUUAAUUAUAUAAAAAUAGUUAAAUUUCAAUUGGGAGCGUAUAUAUACUACAUAUUUAUGUGAGAUUUAAAAUUUAUGGUGAAAAAAAGGAAGUAAAGGUUAUAUAUUUUAAUAAAAUAAUUAAUUAAAUAAAAGAACACUUAAAGUAAAUAGAGAAUUUUUUCGUCUCCUCUUUUCAUUUAUAAAAGAGCUAUAUAUAAGCCAUUGAUAUUCAAUGCAACAUAAACGAAUGAAGCUUAUUUGACAACUUCAUUAAGUCGUACAUUAAGCAUCUUUAAUAAUGAAUGGGGGGUUUUAACUCAUUACUUUCAUAAAUGUUUAAAGGUUAUAGACAUCCAUUUAAUGUAUUUACAACAAUCCCUAGUCCUUUAAAUAAAAAUGUGUCUCAUUAAAACCUUUAUUAGGAAAAACCCUGUGGGAUAAAAAUCUAAUGAAGGAAAAAGAGUACAUAAUCUCCUGUUACAAGUUGCCUUGUUAAAAACCUUUACGAGGAAAACCCAGUAGGACAAAACCUUGGUUAAAGGAAAAGAGUACAAUGUGUUUUAGGCUCCCCAUAAUGGCAACAUCACAUUAUGUCUUUGAGUCGACGCAUUCCAAUAUUGUUUCGUAGUCUUUUAAAUGUUGAAGUUGGCAAUGCCUUGGUAAAAAGAUCUGUUAAAUUAUCACUAGAACGAAUUUGUUGAACUUCUAUGUCACCUUUCUUCUUAAGAUCAUGAGUGAAGAAUAAUUUUGGUGAAAUAUAUUUCAUUCUUUCACAUUUGAUAUAACCACCCUUUAAUUGAGUUAUACAUGCUGCAUUAUCUUCAUAUAAGAUAGUUGACAUAUUUUCCUGUAAAGGCAAAUUGCAUAUCUUCUGGAUAUGUUGGGUUAAUAACCUUAGCCAAACACAUUCUAGACUUGCCUCAUGCAUUGAAUUUUUUUUAGCAUGAUUUUAAGAGGUAGCAUCUAAUGUCUGCUUUGUCGAACGCCAUGAUAUGGCAGUACCUCUACAUGUAAAUAAAUAUCUCGUUUGAGAUCGACCUUUAUGUGGAUCUGAUAAAUAUCCAACAUCAGCAUAACCAACUAAUAGGGAUUUUGAAUCAUUUGAAUAAAAUAACCCCAUAUUAAUGGUCCCUCUGAGAUAUCUAAAUACAUGUUUAAUUCUAUUCUAAUGUCUACAUGUUGGAGAAGAACUAAAUAUUGCUAACAAGUUUACAACAAAAACUAUAUCAGGUCUUGUGUUGUUUACAAGGUACAUCAAUACUCUAAUGACAUUUAGAUAUGGUACUUCAGGACUAAGAAACUCUUCAUCAUUCUCACAAUGACGAAAUUGAUCUUUAUUCACAUCUAACGAUCAUACAACCAUUGGGGUACUUAAUGGAUGUGCUUUAUCCAUAUAAAAUUUCUUUAAGAUUUUUUCGUAUAAGUUGACUGAUGGGCAUGAAUUCCAUCUUUUAAAUGCUCGAUCUGCAGGCCAAGAUAAAACUUUGUUUUUUCAAGAUCUUUCAUCUCAAAUUCUUUCUUUAAAUAAUUUACUGCAUUUUGAAACUCUUCAAGAGUUUCAAUAAUAUUUAGAUCAUCAGCAUAAAUAGCAAUUAUCACAAAGUUUGAUCCAUACCUUUUUAUAAAAACACAUGGGCAGAUUGGAUCGUUUUUGUAAUCUUCUUUUAACAAAUAUUCACUAAAACAAUUAUACCACAUACAUCCAAAUUGUUUUAAUCCAUAUAAACUUUUCCUUAAUCUGUUUGAGCAAUUUUCCCUGAAAACUCUAUAUCCUUCAGGGAUUUUAAAUCCUUCUGGGAUUUUCAUAUAAAUUUCACUAUCAAGUGUACCAUACAAAUAAGCUGUAACAACAUCCAUUAGACGCAUGUCAAGUUUUUCACUUACUGCCAGACUAAUAAGGUAUUUAAACGUGAUUGCAUCCACCACAAUAGAAUAUGUCUCUUCAUAAUCAAUACCAGGCCUUUGCGAAAAUCCUUGUGCUACAAGUCGUACUUUAUAUGUUACAAAUUCAUUUUUCUAAUUUCGUUUUCUCACAAAUGUUCAUUUAUAUCCUACCGGUUUUACAUAUUUAGGUGUUUGGACUAUAGGUCCAAAAACCUCACGUUUAGAAAGUGAAUUUAAUUUUGCUUGAAUUGCAUCUUUCCAUUUUGGCUAAUCUUUUCUAUUUCUACAUUUCUCAAUAGAUUUAGGCUCAAGAUCCUCAUUUUCUUUUACUAUUUCAAUAGCAACAUUAUAAGCAAAAUUAUUGUCAACAAUUAUAUUUUUCGGUUCUAUUUUUUUCUUGAAGUAAUAUAACUUAUUGAGAUUUAUUUGUUAUCACCAUUUUCAGGUACCUAAACCUCUUCUGGGUUUUUUUAUUAGUUAUAUCAUUGGCCUCUUCUUGGGCACUUGUCUCCACAAUAUUACCAUCUUGAAUAAUUUCUCCUUUCCUUUUACGAGGAUUUUUAUCUUUGGAACUGAUUGGCUUUCCAAGCUUCAGGCAUGGAUUACUUUCUUUUGCACUAAUAAUUUUUCUUAUUGGGAUAUCAAUUUGUAUUGGAGCAUUUUCAGCUGGUAUGUGAGAUUUUGUAAUUCUCUUUAGGCCAGUAAAUGAAUCUGGCAGUUGAUUGGCAAUGUUUUGCAAAUGUAUGCUUCUUUGAACUUCUUGUUCAUAUUGACUUGUGCAAGGAUCUAAUUGAGAUAAUGAUGAUCCAUUCCAUAUAAUUUCUUUUACCAAAUGCAUUUUCUCUCCCCCUAAUGUUGGGGAUGUUGUUUCAUCAAAAUGACAAUCAAUAAAUUGUGUAGUAAAUAAAUCUCCAGUUAAUGGUUCAACAUAUUUAAUUAUAGAAGGAGAUUCAUAACCAACAUAUAUUCCCAACCUUCUUUGAGAACCUAUCUUUGUGCAUUGUGGUAGAGCAAUUGGAACAUAUACUGCACAUCUAAAAAUUCUAAGAUGGGAAAUAUUUGGCUUCUGACCAAAAGCCAAUUGUAAUGGGGAGUACUCAUUAUAACUUGUUGGUCUUAAGCGUAUAAGUGCUGCUGCAUGCAAAAUAGCAUAUCCCCAAGCUGUAACAGGGAAUUUUGUUCUCAUAAGCAAUGGCCGAGCUAUUAGUUGGAGGUGUUUGAUAAACGAUUCAGCUAAAUCGUUUUGUGUGUGAACAUAAGCUACAGGAUGUUCAACUUUUAUCCUAAUUGACAUACAAUAGUCAUUAAAAGCUUGGGGUAUAAACUCACCAGCAUUAUCAAGACGAAUAGUUUUGAUUGCAUAAUUUGGAAAUUGUGCUCUUAAUCUAAUUAUUUAAGCAAGUAGUCUCGUAAACGCUAGGUUACGAGUCGAUAAUAAACACACAUAUGACCACCUACUAGAUGCAUCUAUUAAUACCAUAAAAUAUCUGAAUGGUCCAUAUGGUGGAUGAAUGGACCCUCAUAUAUCACCUUGAAUACGUUCUAGAAAUGUGGGAGAUUUAAUCCCAACUUUAGCUGGUGAUGGUCUAAUAAUCAAUUUUUCUUAAGAACAAGCAACACAAGAUAAAUAUUUGAAUUCAAGAAUCUUUUGGUUCUUUAAUGGGUGUCCAACUGAAUUCUCAAUGAUUCUUCGCAUCAUAAUAGAUCCGGGAUGGCCUAAUCGGUCAUGCCAAAUAGUUAAAAUAUGUGGUUCUACAAACUUCUGGUUUGUAGUAACAUGUGACUCAAUUGCACUAAUAUGUGUAUAAUAUAAACCUGAUGAAAAAAUAGGUAGCCUUUCCAAAACACAUUUCUUUCCACAUUCAACAUUUGUAAUAUAUAGAUAUUCAAUAUUUUUAUCUUUGAGUGUCGUAUGUGUUGUAGCACUAUCUGUAAGACACAUGUCUCCAUUGAUUUUGGGUUCAUCAAAAUUUUGUUGAAUAUUCAUAUUCUUUAUAAAAACAAACAAAAUAUAAUAUGAGAAACAUUACAAAUAUUUAUUAAAUAUAUAAAUUAUUCUUUAUGCAAGAAAAUAAAACAUAUUUAAAACAACAUAAAAAUGUCAAAAUAACAUCAAUUUGUCUAAUGAUUCUCAAAUAAAUUUGCCACAUCUAGGUGAGUUAUAUUGUUAAGGUCAUUAAAUUUAUCACCCUUGUAGGCAUGGUUAGUUUUAGUAUUAUAGUGAAUAUCUUCAUAUUUUGCCUCCAUUUCAUCAUUUUGGGAUAUAAAAUUUGUCUCUAUAUGCUUUCCCUUUUUUUUAAUGGAUGCUUGAUAAAGUUUUACUAAAUGUUCAGACAUACAACAGGUACAUGACCAAUGCCCCUUCAUACCACAUAGGUAGCAUUUAUUCUCAACAAUCUUUGAAGGAUUAUUUUGACCACUUCUUUCUUGCCUUUCAUUGUUAUUAUUUUUCUGGUGGUUAAAAGUAUCAUUGUUAUGACCACCAUGAUAACGAUUACUAGUACGUCCUCAACCACGUCCCGUACUACGUCCACGACCACAGCCGCGACCUCUAUAUUUUCUGUUUUUAUAUUUUUUGUGUACUGCUACAUUCACUUCAGGGAAUGGUGUAGAACCAGUGGGAUGAAUUCCAUGAUUUUUCAUCAACUCAUUAUUUUGUUCAACCACCAAAAGGCAUGAAAUCAAUUCAGAAUACCUUUUAAAACAUUUUUCACGGUAUUGCUGCUGCAGGAGCACAUUAGUAGCAUGAAAGGUUGAAAAUGUUUUCUCUAACAAGUCCUCAUCAGUUAUGUUUUCUCUACAUAAUUUUAGUUGAGAACUAAUUUUGAAAAGUUCUGAAUUGUAUUCACUUACAGUCUUAAAAUAUUGUAACCGUAAGUGCAUCCAAUCAUAACGAGUUUUAGGGAGUAUCACCGUUUUUUAAUGGUUAAAUCGUUCUUUCAAAUUUUUCCACAACUCAAGAGGGUCUUUCACAGUGAGAUAUUCCACUUUUAAUCCUUCAUGUAGAUGAUGACGGAUGAAAAUCAUUGCUUUUGCCUUAUCUUGAUUCGAUGCUUCUUUAUCGGUUAAUAUAGUAUUUCCUAGGCCUUUAGCAUCUAGGUGAAUUUCGACAUCUAAUACCUAUGACAAAUAAUUCUUGCCUGAGAUGUUUAAGGCCGCAAAUUCAAAUUUGACAAGAUUUAACAUUAUAAUCACUUGAAUCAAAAAUAAAAAAUAUUAGUAAAAUAAUAAGCAUUCUCAAUCGUAAAAUAAUUCAAUUAUAUAUACCAAAUUUGCUAAAUAAUAAUAUGUAUGUCAAAUAUUGGCAUAGAAAAGAAUAGUCAUGAUAAUAACUUAACACAAAUUACAUUAAUUGAAAUUUCUUUUAAUAAAAAAACAUGUAUAUAUAAUUAUCAUUAUUAGAUUUGAGUUGUAAAAAUAAAUGUGCAAAUGUUACCCAAAGAAAAAAUUUCAUCUAGAAAAUAAAAUAAAAGAAUUAUGAAAAUACGUAUACCGUAUAUAGUUUAACGAGAGUUAUACAGAUAAAUUAUAUAAAGUGAAAUGACGUGAACUUCACUAUGAACUCGUAGAAGUUUGUGCUGAUAAUGUAUUAUAAAAUAAUUAAUUAAAUAAAAGAACAUUUAAAGUAAAUAAAAAAUUUUCUUGUCUCCUUUUUUCAUUUAUAAAAGAGCUAUAUAUAAAUUAUUGACAUUCAAUGCAACAUAAAUGAAUGAAAUUUAUUUAACAGCUCCAUUAACACAUACAUUAAACAUAUUUAAUAAUAAAUGAGAAGUUUUAACUCAUUACUUUUAUAAAUGUUUAAAAGUUAUAGACAUCCAUUUAAUCUAUUUAUAAGAUUAUAAGAAUUUUCUCUCAUAUAUUGGAUUCCACUUGGAAAUAAUCAGCAUCUAGCCGCCGAGCCGACAGAGGAUGAGGAAGAAGGAGCUAGUCAGAUGCCAGGUCAUCUAUGCGGGACCCGGAAUGGUUGAGACAUUACAGGGAGGGCACGUGUAGGAAACCCAUCAACAACAAUGGAGGUGGGUGUACCCGAUGAAUUCCUCUCUCUCACUUCUCAUUUCUCAACUUCCAUUAUCAUUUCUUCUUUAUCUCUCUUUCCUUUCACCGCCUAUAUAAAAUUAAUAAUUAUGUUAACUUUUAAAAGGGAGUUUGCUGCUGUUAAGUCUGUUUUAUUCAAUUCAAUUCUCAUUAGACAUUUAGUCAGAUUUUUUUUUUCUCUCUUUUACGGUGCUUCUACCUUUCCACGCAAUCUCAACUCCCCCCUUUUAGAGAUCGGAUAAUUUUCAGUUCUCGAAUUAUUUCCCCUCUGUAUUUGUAAAUCCUCACCUUUUCCGCAUGUUAAUUUGUUAAAUUAUUUUUCAUGUUUUUGCUUUUUUAUUUUUGGAUUGAUGAACUGAUUGAUCUCUGUUAUCUGACCAAUAGGGUGCUUUGAUUUUCUGCCUGUAAUUCAUAAACUGAUGUUGUUUGGAUCGUUUAUCCUGAUAAAGGAGGAAUCUUUUUGGGUGGUUAGGGUUAGGGUUUGGGAUGUUUUGGUAAUUGCUGGGGAAGGAUUGGUAUUUUGAUAACAUGAUAUAUGGUGGUUUUCGGAUUUUGAUUUUAAGAUACUGAAUCUUCCCCGGGGGGGGGGGGGGAAUUAAAUCUGGAAUUUUGGAAUCUGGAAACACCUAUUAAGACUCAUUAUGUUCCGGGGAACUUGUUUUUUCAUUUUUAGAAAGCAACUUAUAUAUAUAAAUGUAUGUAUAUAUAUCUUUACCGUAAAAUUGCCCUGAGGUGAGUUUUGUUUUUCAAUACGAGGCUAUAGGAUUAAGGGUAGCUGAGCACAAUUAAGAGCAAAAUUGUGUUAUUCAAUUAUUAUUGGAUGAGAAUUGAAAAUAUGUUCUUUAGGUGCUCCUGAGCAACUCUAUGAUCAUUUUAUUCGAAAUUUCACCUUUGAAGAAGUCUUACUCGUGGUGUUUGGGGAAGUAGUUAUGAAUGAAUUAAAAAAUUUUGAUUGUUUGAGCUGAUAACUGUUGUAUGCAAUUGUAUUCUCAUGUUUAUCACCAAGUAAUCUGGGAAAUAAAUCUCAUUGAGCGUAAAAACUUUAUGAAGAAAGUACUAUUCAAAUUCAAUUGAUUGUUCAAACUUCAAACAACUAUUUUAACCUUUGCCUCUAUGCUGCACUAUCUGCAUGGUUCCUAUGCAUUUUUCUUCUCUCUAUUGAUGAUUGAUAAAAAUUUUAGAUUGAUAUAUAUCAAAAUUGACAAUCUCUUCUGGUUUUUGUGGCCCGAGUGCAGGUAUGAUAGCUGUCUGGUUCAAGACUAACACUUAGUUACUUAUUCAAGGGUUCUAUUUGAUCAAGUUUUCUAGGACUUUUUACAUUGCAUUAUAUUGUUCAGUGCUUUGGAGCUUUGCAUCAGGAUUUGUCAUCUGAUUUUCUUUGUACAAGUUAACAAGUGACGAUUCUAUAGUUUUCAGUUCGCGUCUCACAGAGAUACAGAUUACAUAAGACUGCGGUAGGAAAUAUAUUCAAAGUUCAGUGUCCUGGUAAGUUUAUGUUAAGAUAAAGACGAAUUAAUCUCUUUAUGUUAUGAAAUUAUUGACAGUGGGUGGCAUGUCUCCCAUUUGUAGAUUGGCAUAUUUAUCACUCUUCCACGUUGCUGUUGUUUAUAAUUCAUAUGGGCAUCUAGGUUUACUUUAUGUUUAGUGGCUCUAGGUAAAAAUAAACUUUCAGUGGACUCUAAAUGAGCUAAAGUAGUUCAUAGGUGAUGCUGUUUGUUCUGACUUAUAUGAUGCACUUAAUUUUAUUUGCCUUGUGUGUGUGUGUGUGUGUGUGUUUUUUUUUUGGGGGGGGGGGGAUCUUACUGGAGGACUUCAUAAUAUCUAGCCGGUGCUGGUGGUUGAUCCCUAUAAGGUUUUUGAAAUGAGCCGUAUUUUGCACCUGAGAUUGAGUUUGGUCACUAUUUGUGUGGAAGUCAAGGAAACUAGAGGAUUUUCAUUCCUUUUCCCUUCUGCACCAUGCCUUUCCAAGAAAUAAAGAUGUUGGGGUUUCUGGGAAUGUUUUCGGGUUUCCUUUUUCUUUUUUUUCUUUCUAUGGGACCUUGGGUGUAUUUUAUGGUCUGCUUCUUUUCUAUUGUUUGACAUGCUGCCAUCUUUUAUACCUUGGUAUGGAGACUUCUGAAAAUUCUCCAUGCACGGUGCUAGUUUUGCGGUUUAUAAUGUUCGUUGUCUAGUUUAUCCUUUGAUUAAUGGACUAUUUUUCCCGUUACCUGAUGAAUUCAAUAUGCUGAGUAACUUUACACAGCAUGUUCAAGAUGGCUGGUGUUAAACGAAGAAUAAUUACUGAUUUGGAUGUCCGUGCUCUCCAUAAAGAACUGGAUGAAGUCUCAUGUCCAAUCUGCAUGGACCAUCCACAUAAUGCUGUUCUCCUGCUGUGCAGCUCGCACGACAAGGGUUGCAGAUCUUACAUUUGUGACACAAGUUACAGGCAUUCAAAUUGCCUAGACCGAUUUAAAAAAUUAAGGGCUAAUUCUAGUAAGAGUCCAAUAUUACCUCAUCCCUUCCCCCUAAACCCUCCGAAUUCUAGUACUUUUGAUUUGAACUUGGCAUUAAGAACUGAUUUUGUUGAAGGUAAUGGAAGUCAAAAUCUGAAUGAAACCAAUAGCAUGGCAGGAGGAUCAGACGAUAAUAUCCGAGAGCCAACUAGGAAUCUUGAUUCACAAGGAGAAGGUAUUAUAGAAAUAGCAGACUCUUACUCCUUCCGGGGAAGAUCUGAAUCCGAAGAUGUAGAUGCUGAGAAUUUUAAAUCUAGUUUGAAAUGCCCUCUUUGCCGAGGGAACGUACUUCGCUGGGAGGUUGUGGAAGAGGCCAGAAAGUAUCUAAAUUCGAAGAAGAGAACUUGUUCUAGGGAAUCUUGCUCCUACUCUGGAAGUUACCAGGAAUUGCGUCGGCAUGCCAGGAGAGUCCAUCCGACAAUACGACCUUCAGAUAUUGACCCAUCCAGAGAACGAGCCUGGCGCCGCCUUGAGCACCAAAGAGAAUACGGUGACAUUGUAAGUGCUAUUCGAUCUGCCAUGCCAGGUGCUCUUGUGGUUGGAGACUAUGUUAUUGAGAAUGGAGAUAGGUUGGCAGCUCGAAGGGAGAAUAGCACUGGUGAAGCAAGUUCACCAUGGUGGACUACUUUCUUUCUGUUUCAGAUUGGUUCAGUCGACAAUGUUGGUGAAUCAAGAGCCAGGUCCAGGGUUUGGUCAAGGCAUCGACACCCUGGAGGAGCUGUAUCUGAGCGGAGGUUCCUUUGGGGCGAGAAUCUCUUGGGUUUGCAAGAUGAUGAUGAUGAAGAUGAUGUGCGUGUAAUAAGUGAUGUAGGUGAAGAUGCAUCUCCAAGCCCAAGGAGACGCAGACGCCUGACGCGGUCAAGGUCAGAUGAAGAUCAGUCAUGAAAUAUAUCAGAUAAUUUUUGCAGGUAAGUCUCAGUUGCUUGACAUUAUUUCGAAUGGGAUUUAUUUCGAACUGCUUUUCCCUGACCCGGUUGGUAGUAUUCAUCCCAAGUAGUGUGCAUAAGCUUUUGCUGGUCUCAGAAUCCACCAUCUUGUGGGUUUCUAGUAUGUGUCAUCUGGAAUUAUGUAUUCAGACUUUUAUGUAUUCUGGCUUUAGACAAAUGUAUUUAGAUGUACUGAAGCUCAAACCAGUAUUUCUCUUCACUGGUCCUGCAUUCCUAAGGAGUCUUAUACUGGCAUUUACUCUUGUGCUUUAUAUUAUGGAAAAUUAUUUGGUACAGGGUUAAAUGAGUCGAUUCCGAUUCAUUUUUAUCCAUGUCUAUUACUGGGCUUUUAGAAGUUGCGGAACCGGUCCCAUUAAAUAAAUCAUUAGUAAUUUUUAAAAAUAAUUAUUAAAAAAAUAUCAGAUCUGGUUCAAUAUGUUUAAUAGUUGGUUCAAUUCUCGAUUCAAUCAAUGGUUGGUUUUCGUUUGGUUUAAACAUGCAUUAAUUAAAGCAAAAUUUGAGAAAUCAUUACAUGUUUUCAGAUUAUGAUUCACGAAAAUGAAUAUCUAAGUUAUUAUUUGAUUUGUUGAGAUAAAUGAUAAGAGAAUUUUAUUCAUAGUAAGAAAUCGAAUUUAUUUUUAUUUAUAAUAUAAGAAGCUUAAAAAGAGUUGUUAAUAGAAAAACCCAACAAUUUAUUACGUUGCACUUGUAAUUGUCAAGUGUGAAGGUGACUAAUUAUGUAGCUCAUCGAUGCCCCUUGCCCAUGGAAGGUGGUAUAGAACCAACAAAAAUACCUUUCUACAUACAUCAAGGGCACAGUUGCAUUGUACGGGAACAUGGUUAGAAGAGAAAACUAAAGAAGGUUUUGUGUUUUUGAUAUUUCUGAUGAAAAAUUGAAUCUGCAAUCCUUUUCCUUUGAAACACACCAUCCAAUGUAGUGAAGGCAAUAUACCUAUUUCAAGUUUAAGGUGGCCUUCGAACCAAUAUAUCAAUAUUGCUCCAAUUUUUAUAUCACGUGAUCUUUACAAUUUUUAGCUUAUUUUUAGUUUAUCGGGUCACAUACGAGUACCUAUUUUCGUUAAUAAUUUUUAGUAUAUUUGUUUUGAUAAUUAAUUUCUUAUUAAGCUAAAAAAAAACCAACGUGUGUUCAUUUGGAGCAAAAAUUAUUCCAAAAAAUGUUUUUCAUAUUUUCCGGUGUUUGAUAAAGCAUGGGAAAGUGGGUGUUUUCCCGUAAAAUGACUUAUCCCCUAUUGUCAUUUUACGCUUCCUUUUCUUCCCCCCUUCACUCCUCUCUCCUUGGAGUCUUGUCCCUCACCGGUAAUAUCGACGGUGACCCACGAUGCAAUAUCAGUGAUACUGACGGACCCAUCUCCAGAUACUUCCUUUGAGAUCGUCGUCCUGGUUUUAGACCUCAAGCUCAUUGGCCAUCGUUUCAUAUUCUUAAUUCCCAUGAUCUUUUACAGUUUUACUUGCUUUUAUGUUUUCCGUUUUUCUUAAACUACUUAAUAGCUAAAAGUCAUGGGUUUUGUUUGAAGGUUUAAUGCUAGUGAUGGAAAGAUGAAAGUGAGAGCCAUCUUUUCAUCAAAUAUGUUAUCUGCUAUAAGUUCAGGUAGUACCCAAGGCACAGGAUUCUUGACUAUACCUUUUAUGUCAUUCUCAUCAAAUUUGUUCUAUAUGAUAUAGUUUCUAGAGCUGGAUAAUCAAAACUGUUAUGGGUUUUCAGAUGUUUGAUUGUAACAAAAUGUGCAAUCGGUAUGGAAAUCAAAGUUGAAGUGAAUACUUUGAAGAAGCAAAGCUUGAAAUUGUGGUCAAAACAGAAGGGGCUGGUAAUUUCAAGUCAAAGCAAGAAAUGUGUUUAACGAGAAUUCUGUGGUGGAAGGGGUUAUUAAUGAAGAAAAAAUUAUUCUUCAACUUUGUUCCCAUUGAUUAGUUGGGCCAUUACGUUAAUGGAAGAAUUCUUCACCAUAAGCUAAUGGACAUGUAAUCACUUACUGUUUUACUUUGAAUUCAGAUAGUAUUGGAGUUGUCCAAAGUGUUACUUCAACAAGGAAUUAGUAUCAGUCCUCAACUUGUCCAAGCAUUCUACAUCUCUUUUGUAUUGAUUGUAAUCUUGUAUCAUUGCCCUUGUUUACGUAACCUAUAUUUGUUUAUUGGAGAUUUAGGUCUUGGAUUUCAUGUAAGCUUUUAGCAUUUCUUCACUUAACAAUUAUUGCUCAUUGCUCUUAAGAAAUUAUAAAUUUAUAAAAAGAGGAAACUAGAAUGUCUUGCGCUUAUAAAAUUGCAUUGUUAAUGUUUUAUGAAAUUGCCAAUAAAUAUUGCUAAAAAAUUACUAUACAACUUGACAUUUGAGUGAUGGAACAUUUAUAGAAACAUUUAUAUGAGCAUGUUUACUUUGCUAUGAUGAAAUUGUUUUCUAGCAAUUAUGAAAGAAAUGAUUAAUAAUAUUUCAAUGUUUUUAUAAUACUGCCAAAUUGUUAUGAUAUUGCUUUUUUUAUUAUUAUUAUUAAUGUUGUUUGUUGAAUUAUAAUUAAUAUUCAAAAUUUAGUUUUAUAAAUGAAUAAACAAAAUAAUAAUUGUCAAAAUAUUUAUAUUUUGUUUGUUUCAAAAAAAAAAUUGGAAGAUAAGUUCAGGAAACCCGUCAAAUUUAUUGACAAGUGCUGAAAGUAACACGUUUUAAACUCAUUUUUAACAUGUUUGUGUUAUCCGAUGUUUAUUGCGAAUUUUAUACUCCUAAUAUUUUAAAUUCAUGUUUUUAUGCUUAAUAGAGCACUUGAGAGCAAAAGGAGUGAAAAAUGAGUGAAAAUCGGAGCAUUGGAGCCACAUGGGUUGAAUCAUUUUACACUGCCAGACCACACAGCUAUGUGAACGAUAUGGGCAUGUUGCAGGCUGUGGCGAUUUCACGGGAUUGCACACUAAACAACGGAAAAUCACGAUUUUUAAAUUUUUCGAGCAUUCUAAGACGUAUAUAUGACAAAAAUAAGAAGAUAAGAGAUGACCGUCAGAGAAUACUCAAGAAAACUACUCAAAAAAUGUCAUUGAAGUUGAUUUUGAAGCAGAUUUCUGUCAAGAUUUAAGAUUCCUAGUUGAUUUCUUAGGAAGUUAUCAUGAGUUUCUUUAUUUCUUUCGGUUAUACUAUAUCUUGAAUUUUUUUAUUUUCUAGCAUUAACUAAUUUUCUAAAUACCUAGGGGAGAUGAAUCUUAUGAUCGAUUCUGUCGUUUGAUUUUUUUUAUUUUACGCAAUAAAUUCUUAGUUUCUUAUUCUCAAUUAUGUGUGCUUAAUUCGUGGUUUAAUAUUUCUAGAGUUUUGAUCCAUGUUCGAUGUGCUUAAAUUGAUAGUUGAAUAAAUCCUGUUUAAGAUUAGAGCAUGGGUAAUUGAGUAGAGUUGUAUGCAAUAUUAGAAAUAGGACGACAUAAAACUAUCAGAUUAGAGUUAAAUCUAAAAGGAGAAUCCAUAGCAUAAGCUAAUGUGAUAAUAGGGGUUUUAAUUAGAAAUAAAUUUCAAUUAAUUAACCUAGAGUCAGUUGUUCUUAUGCUCGAAAGAGAUAUUAGCAUAAUUUAGGGAUUUUUACGAAUCAAUGUGCAAAGUAAAGAAAUUGUGUAAUUUAGAUUAAUAGUGACAGAUGAAGUCUAGGCGGAUUCUUUCCUGGGUAUUGUUUCGCUUCUUGAUUGUUAUUCGAUUAUUUUCAUGUUUUGUUCUUUGUCAUGUUUAUUAGUUAAUUAAAUUAGUUAAUUUUAGUUUUAACUAAUCAUUCGAAUUAAUUAGUUAAAUAAUAGAAAGACGAUAAUUACUAGUACUUGUAGUCCUCAUGGGAACGAUAUAUUUACUCACCGUAAUUAUACUAUUAAUUGAUAGGUGCACUUGCCUUAGUCAAAAUUUUAGUUAGUUUCGUGACCAUCAAGUUUUUUGUGUCGUUGCCGGGGAUUAGAUCGAAUAUUAGAAAAAUUUUAUUUCUAUUAAUUAGUCAUUUUUCAUUUUCAUUUUAACACUUUUAUUUUUAAUUUAAUUUUUAAAUUUUGAUUUUUUUGUUUGAUUCUUAUAGGUUUUUUGGUUUAUAACUAGAGGCAAUCCGUUGGAACCAUUCAUUUUUUACAGUGAGAUUUAAAAAAUUGCUCACAAAAAUCGAAAAGAUGUUAGAAAAGCAAGGCAAGGUCAACAACAUGUUUUCAUAAACGAUGAAGAGCAAAAUGACAUUACUAUGGAGAUGGAUAAUAAUCUUGGUAGUCCGCAACUUCCUGCACGUCUUGCUCCUUGGACUAUAUAUGACUAUACUAAGCUUGCUCUGAUUGAGGUUGAAUUGAGUAUUUUCAGACCUACUGUUGUUGCAAAUAAUUUUGAGAUUAAGCCGAACACAAUUCAGAUAGUGUAACAAUAUGUUCAGUUUGAUGGGUUGCAAGAUGAAAAUCCAAACGCUCAUUUAGCCAACUUUUUAGAGAUCUGCGACACAUUUAAGAUCAAUGACGUGACUGAUGAUGCCAUACGCUUGCGGUUGUUCUCAUUCUCUUUGAGGAAUAAGACAAAACAGUGGUUGAAUUCACUUCUAUGGGGUUCCAUCACCACUUGGGCUCAGAUGAUUGAAAAGUUUUUGAUGAAGUACUUUCUACCGACUAAAACAAACUAAGUUGAGGAAUGACAUCUAUUCUUUUUCUCAAUUUUAUCUUGAGACGCUUUAUGAUAUACAAGAGAGAUUUAAGGAUCUGUUGAGAAUGUGACCUCAUCAUGGAUUACCUUUGUGGAUUCAAGUGCAAAGUUUUUUUACAAUGGUUUGAACCCUUCGACCAGACAAAUGAUUGAUGUAGUAGCUGACAGAACACUAAAUAACAGAACACCUGAGGCUGCCAUUCGAUUUUGAUUUUAGGCCAAUUAAUAGUUAUAUAUAUACAUACAUAUAUGUAUUAAUAUCUUACAAUAUAUCAUUAUAUGAUGUAAUACUAUAUCACAUUCUAUAAUAGUAGAACAUAAUAUAUUAAUUAUUAUAAUGCUUGUAAAGUCCUUAUACUCUUUGUAUAUUUGAAAGUUAACUUUUCUACUAUAUUAUAUAAUGUCAUAUCAUAUCCUAUGUUUAUUUAUACGUGUUAAGGUCAAGUUAGGCAAUCGAUUGAUUUAAUGUUUUCUGUUCAAUCUUGGUUUUGAAAUUUAAAACUGUUUAAACCAAAUUAAUUAACUUUACACCUAUUAAAUAUAAUAUAUAUUUAAAUACAAAUCUAAACCUAAACUCAAUUUAAACUUUAUUCAAAACCAAACAUGAAUAAAAAUAAACUCAUUCCAAAUUUAAAAUUAUUAUAAAUAUAAUAAUAUUAAUAAAAACAUUAAACUAAAAGUAAAACCAGAAUUCCCAAAUCAUAAAAAAAAAUUAAAAUUAAACUUAAAAUUUCAGAUCGUUAAAAUUAAAUUUAUUACUCAUGUUAUUUGUAAUAACAUAAUAAAUCAUGUUUAAUUAUUUGUUAUAAGUAUAACACUAGUUGUUGUAUUAUUAAAUUAAUAUAUUAUGUCAUUAUAUAUUUCAUAUUAUCAUUAAAUUUAAAUCUUCUAGAUUAUAAUAAUUAUUAAUUUUAUAUAUUUAUUAUACAUAUAUAAUUAUAGAAUUAAAAAUAUUUUAUAUCCAAUUAAUGUUUUUAAAAAUUUAUUUUAUUUUAUAAUUUAACAUAAAAAAUAUUAUAAUUACUUUUUCUAUUAAUAAAAUUUUAAUUUUAAUAUGUAAUGCUUAUGAACAUAUUUCAAAAAAUAAAUAAUUAUCAUUUAAUUUUAUUUUAAGCAAUAUUAUAAAAUUACGUUAAUUAUAUUUAGCUAUAAAUUCAAAAAUUUCAAAUCAGAUCGAUUUCAAACUUGAAUUUUUAUGAACUUGAGUUUAUUUUUUUUUAUCUUCAGUUUUUCCAAAUUUAAAAAUUUUGGAUUCAAAGAGCACAAAGUUUUCCAAACUUAAAUCAUUAGACUAAAAUUGACAUGAAUAAAGUUUGGAAUUCAGACAUAUUUUCCUGGUUAGAAUUUGGUCACAGGUAUCUAGAUUUGUGUGGCUCUUUUACUUUAGUAAGUAAUGGUUAUGAAAAAGGUAAAAGUGGAGGGGACAGAAGCUAUAGCCUAGGCCGUGGAAGGGUGUGCAGUGAUCGCUCAAGGAGUAUUAAAUAGGGGUGAGUAAAAUUCGAUUCGAUUCAAAAAAUUCGAAAAAGAUUUCGAAUUUCGAAUUAUUUGAAUCGAGUUAAUCGAAUUAAUCGAGUUAAUCGAAUCAAUUUGAAUUUUUUUUCGAAUUUCGAGUUCGAAUCGAAUUAAAUUUUUAAAUUCGAAUAAUUCGAAUAAUUCGAAUAAAAACUAUAUUUUUUAUUUUUAAAUUACAAUACAUAUAUUUUUUAUUUUUAAAAGUUAAAAGUUACAGUGCAUUAGUAAACCACUUCCAAUUUCCAAAAUCCCUAACUAAGCCCGUGCGUGCCCUCCCUCCCUCCCCCCUUUUUAUCCCAAUUCGAAGACCUCCACCGGACCACCACCACGAAUCCACCUCCACCUCCAGUCCUCCACGGCUGAGCUCUGCGCAUCUUCAUUCUUUCUAAAGCAACUGAUUUGAGCCGUACAGGUAAGGUAACAUUCAAACUUCCCUCUUUCAAGUUUCAACAGUAUUAAUUCUUCAAAAUCAAGUUUCAAGAUCAGUUCAGACCUAUAUUUUUCAGCUCCAUCAGUCUUUGUUACUGCAGCACCAUUUGUAGCGUCUAUAUUUUUAGAUGCAUGUUCUGCAUUCAGAUCAGUAUCAGGUACAAAACUAGAUAUUGCGAUAAGUAACUCGCGAGCUAGCUCCUUGCUGCCAGUAGGUGUUUUACCCAUAUAAUGUCAGUUUUUUCCUGCAAUACAAAACCCAAAGUUAAAUCUGGCUUUCUUUUCAAAGGAUAUAGAAACUCCACAAGUUUACAAACAGAAUAGCAUAUAAUAGAGAUGAAGAAUCAUCCACCAUUCAAUUGGUUCCGUAAUUUGAAUUUUGAAGCAUAAUGCUGGCCAUUUAGUUAUAUUUAGAAAAGAUACAUUUCAUAUUUUGACCCAAUUUAUAUAUAAACUAAUACAUGAUUUUCUAUUAAAAAAUAAGUGAUUUUUUUACAACUUUUUUUAAUUUGUUGGCUGUUGCUGUACCUUAACUCCUUCAAUGCGAUAAAGUUGUUUUUUAUGCUCAUCUUAUCCUACCAUGCUUUUGUAUUGUAUUAUUAUUUAUUAUGCUCUUAAAAAAAUUUAAGUUUGAUUUAUUAAGUUUGAUUUUAAACCAAUUUUUGGUCAUGGUUACUGAUUGCAACAAAUGUUUACUUGUAGAUGAGUGAUCCAAAGCGAGAUGGUUCAACUCAAAGUUCACAAAAUUCUUCCCCAAGUAGAGAUGAUCAAACAACAACCAAGGAAAAUGUUUGAAAAAAGAUUAUUCCAAGGGCAGCUUGUUGGAACCAUUUCACCAAAUUUGUGACUGAAGAGGGGGAGAAGAGAGCAAGGUGCAAUGCAUGUGAUGUUACUUACACAAUGGAAUCAAGUUCGGGUUCUACAACGAAUUUGAAUAACCAUUUGAAAGCAUGCCUGAAAAGACCUCGAGGUAAUACUUCUAAUCCGAAGCAAUCAGAAUUAACAUUUGUGAAGGUUAGCCAAGAAACAACAGAUUUAUCAACUUGGGUGUUUGAUAAAGAUGCUGUUAGAAAAGCAUUGGUUCGUAUGAUAAUUAUGGAUGAACUACCUUUUAAAAUUGUAGAGGGAGAGGGUUUCAAAUACUUUCUUUCUAUAGCAUGCCCACGGUUUAGUCUUCCAUCUCGUUGGACAAUUAGAAGGGAUUGUCUUGAUUUAUUUAACUCCAUGAAGACUGUGAUGAAGAACUGUUUUGAAAAAGAUAUAAGUAGAGUUUGUUUGACGACAGACACUUGGACUUCAUUGCAAAGGAUAUCUUAUAUGGUUUUAACAGCACAUUGGGUGGAUGAUGAGUGGAGGUUGCAAAAAAGGAUUAUAAAUUUUUGCCCAAUAUCCGCUCAUAGAGGUGAAAGCAUAGGUCAAGCCAUUGAAAAAUGUCUUCGAGAUUGGGGGAUUGAGAGGGUCUUCACUAUUACAGUUAAUAAUGCAUCCGCCAAUAGUGUUGCCAUAGAAUAUUUGAGAAAGAAAUUGAAUCAUCGAAAUGCUUCUGUUGCAAAUGGAAAAUUUAUUCAUAUGAGAUGUGUUGCACACAUUCUUAAUCUCAUUGUGCAAUACGGUAUUAAGGAUGCUUCUGUGUCUGUGGAUCGAGUUAGAGGUGCUGUGAGGUAUAUAAGAGCAUCACCAUCGAGGUUGGCAAAAUUCAACCAACGGGUAAAAGAAGAAAUGAUAGAUAGUAAGGCUCUAUUGUGUUUAGAUGUGCCUACUAGAUGGAACUCAACAUAUAUGAUGUUAAAGGUGGCUGAAAAAUAUGAGCGUGCAUUUGAAUCAUAUGUACGUGAUGACCAUCAUUUUUUUCUUGACCUUACUGCUGGAGAUGGAGUACCUACAUUUGAUGAUUGGGAAAUUGUUCGAAGAAUUAUAAAAGUAUUAGAGCCUUUUUAUCAUCUUACAUUGAAGGUGUCCGGAUCUUUGCAUGUUACCUCUCAUUCACUUUUUGAAGUAUUGACGGAUGUGCAUUGUCUUUUUGAUGGGUGGUAAGAGUGUGGAGAUCUAGACAUAAUUUCUAUAACUUGCAAAAUGAGAGAGAAAUAUAAUAAGUAUUGGGGUGAAGGAAACAAGAUCAACAUGCUAGUUUACUUAGCAGUCAUCUUUGAUCCGCGAUGUAAAAUGAGUUUUUUGGACUUUGGGGUCAACUUGCUUUUUCCUAAUGUUGCUAAUGACGUUAUGAAAAUGAUUGAUAAAGAUUUGCGUUGCUUGUUCAAUGAGUAUUCUUCUAAUGCCGGAAGAAUUGAAUUGUUUGAAGGUAGAUCUAGUUUUUCGACAAAUCAUUGCAAUUCAAUGGAAAUAGAUCAGUCAUAAAUGAAAACGGGCUUGGCCAAACAAAAAUACCUUAAGAAGAAGAAACAAGUUGGAUUAGAAAGCAAAUCUGAGUUGGAUAGAUAUUUGGGUGAGGAUGAAGAAGUAAAUGAUUCAAGUUCAUUUGAUUUACUAUUGUGGUGGAAAAUGAACACUCCUAGAUUCCCUAUUCUUGCACAAGUGGCUCGAGAUAUUCUUGCUAUUCCUAUCUCAACAGUUGCCUCGAAAAGUGCAUUUAGCACGGGUGGACGUGUUCUCGAUAGUUUUAGAAGUUCUCUAACUCCUGUCAUGAUCGAAGCUUUGGUUUGCACACAAGAUUGGCUUCGGAAAUCUAAUGGUGUCAUCAAUCUUGAAGAUUAUUUUGAUGAACUUCAAACAAUGGAAGAUGGUAAUAUAUAAAUUUUAAUUUAUAAAAUAAGCUUUUGUAUUCUUUAUAUUAGUAAGCAUUCCCAUAAUUUAACUAACACUUUUGUUUUUAAAUUUGCUAGACUUAUCCAAAAUACCCGAAGAUCAAGAAGGUAACAUACUUAGCAUUAGUUUAUAAAGUUAAAUGUUUAUUUAAUUUAUUUUUGCAAAUUUUUAUUAUUAUUUAACUAACUCAUUCAAUACUUUUACUAGAUGUUUCAAGAUUAUUAACGGUGUUUGAAGCACAAGAAAAAGCUUAAACGUUUAUAUAAUAGUUCUUGAACUGAUGUGUUAUUGUUAGUAGUUUGGUUUGGUUUGGUUUGUUAUUGGUUAAUUGGACUUUUGUUGUGUUCUUUUGGUGUAGGUUUCUAUUGUAUUUUGGACUUUUGCUUAUGUUUUUUUUAUUAUAAUGUUGUUGUUUAUUUCGACUCAUGCUAUUUACUUGGACUUUUACUUAUGUUUAUAUUAUAAUCUUUUUGUAUUAUUUUUGUUGUUUAUUUGGAAUCAUAUUGUUUAUUUGGGUUGAUGAUGUUGUGUUGCUUUUAUUUAUUCACUUAUUUACUUCAAUUUUUUUGUUGUAUGAUCAUGUUUAAAAACUUUAAAUAAAAUUAUUUUUUGGAAAAUUACAUAAAAAUAAACAACACUAUUUUUUUUAACUUUAACUCGAACAAAUAUAUUCGAUUCGAUUCGAAUUCUAUCUCACUCGAUUCGAUUCGAUAAAACUUCAAAUAAAGUUAGGAUGAUAAAAUGAAAUUCGAAAAUUCGAUUAAUUCGAAAAUUUUCGAUUCGAUUCGAUCGAAUGCUCACCCUUAGUACUAAAGCACAAUCAAGGACUGAAGCUACUGUCUUUUUUCACUCUAGCUAGAUGCUUGGUGGGAAAAUGAUUGCAUUACUGUUUUUUUUAAAAAUUACACGUGUUUUUUUUAUCCAUAUUACAAUUUGAUUAUAGUAUUUAAGUAAAUCCAUUUUUAAAAUAUUUUAAAAAAAAAUCCGAUUGAUGUUGCAUUGCUGUUUUUAAUACUGUGAGACGUGGCUUACAACCUAAAGCAUUAUUAAGCAAUGCGUUGGCAAAUGGAAUAUAUUUGUCUUUUCCUUGGAGGUCUCUAUGCUUUUUCUAUUUGCCCAUUCAAACAAUUAAAGCCAUGCCCCAUAUUAAAAAAAACCUCGCCAAUAUCCUUAAAUACUGUUAUAAAAAAACCAACUUAAUUCCCGUAUUAUCUUUUAAAAUUGACAUUUUUGCCUAAUUAACACUCCAUGGAGUGGAUUGAAAGGACAAGUUACGAGACACACUCGUUCCAUGUAAACUCAAAUGCCCGAAAGUUACAAGGCAAACAUGAAUUAUCUUUAUUCAAUCGUAAAUGUAUGGAGUUGAUGGAAACCGAGUGUUACCAAACAUAUGUUAGUGGCAUUGCUACUUAAAUUUAGGACCAUCUUAGAAUCUUUGCAGCUUGAACCUAGGCGGUAAGACGGCCGCAUUCACGUGCUCAGCUUUCUUUGUUUUCAUCAUAUUGCUACAUGGGCCACAUUAAUCAUCGCUGUAUGUUAUUAUUAUUAUUAUUAUUUACGGCCAAACAAUUUGUGUGCAUACAAAAGACUCAUUGAAUGCUCCUAUAAAAUAGAUUAAAGAAAAGGAAAUCUUGUAUGCUUUUAAAUUUUUUAAGCAGCAGACUGCAGAUAUAUAUAAAAAUUUAGGAAUAUGGGUGUUCAAACUGUUAAUUCGAAUCGAAUUAAUAUUAAUCGGAUUAAUUAAUUUUUUUAAUCUUUUAACCGUUAACUGAAUCAGAGUUUUUUUAAAAAAAUUAACCAAAUCGAAAUAUUUCGGUUAAUUUGGUCGGUUAAUCGAAUUAACCAAAAUUUAUAUAUUUUUAUCUUUAGUUUGUUAAAACAAGUAUAAAACAUAUAUAAUAAAUAAAUUAAUAAUGUUCAUUUGACCAAUUUAACCGAAUUAAAACUACUAUAAUUUGUAUUAUUAAUUAAUAAUUCAGUUAAUUAUCCGAUUUCAAACCGAAUUAACUAACAAUCGAACUUCCAAAAAACAACCGAAUUAAAUCGAAUCUGUUCAAUCGAUUAAUUCAGUUUUAACUAAAAUUUGAACACCCCUACCCGUGAUGUCGGUUCUACCUCUUAAUAAUUUAAAUUACAAUAUAUCUAAUUUAGUUUAAAUUUUUUUAUUAAUGCAUUUAUUUAAAAAAAGUGUACCCAUCCCCAAACAUCCUGACAAUGGAUAGUUGCGGUUGAGGAAUACAAAGGAAAUAAACCAAAAAUCAAGGAGUAAUUAUUGUAUCUCUAAGUGUAUAUUUUUGUUUUGGUAUUGGUAUAUAUUAAUAUAUUUGAUAUGUGGUUUUGGGUUUAUCAACGUGGAACCAACUAGUUAUUACAAAAAUAAAAAAUAUUGAUAAACUAUAAACUUUAAACCCUAAAUUCUAAAAAGAAUUAAAAAUUAAUUAAUUUUUUAUUUAAAUUUAUUGCUUUUAAUUUAUACUAGUCACUAUGCUUUCAUUUUCAAAAAUACUAGGCCUCGGCUCUUACUUGGACAAAAGCUUACGGAUGUAGAGACAAGAUGAUUUCUUUGGACUAUUUUUCUCAAACCAAAAAAGGGUGGCAGCGCCCAGAUUUAGGCUGGGUACAGCUUAAUGUUAAUGGCUCCGUUGCAAAUAGUAAUACUAAAGCAGCGAUCAGAGGAGUUAUACGAGAUAAUAAUGGGCAGCGGCUGUCGGGUUUGGCCGUGGUAACAGGAAUGACUGAGAUUUUACAGGUGGAAGCAAGAGCUAUAGUGGAAUGGAUGAAACUAGUUUGAAAUCUUUGAGGCAUAUUUUCAAUUCGUAAAUGAGGAGUUUUGAAUAAUAAAAUUAUAAUUUUAUCUUCUACCCCAUAAGACCUUUACAAUGAGAUAUCAUAUGCUUAAAAUGGUUGAGUGAUGAAUGAGAAAUUGAUACUCAAAGUAAGCUACUUGUGAAUUAUGUUAAGGAAAAUGAAAAGCAUUAGUCCCACAUUGAUUGAGAAUCAAGUGUGAAACUUGUAUAUAUAUGUGAACCAAUUUAAUAAUUAGUUAAUGACUAAACUAAUGCUUUUUUUCAUGCACAAGAGGUAUGCAAAUUCAAAUUCAUUGGGGUCAGGAGCGCACGACGUGGGUGACGCAAAAUAUUUGGACUGAUUGGGCCUUUUUAAGCCUAUGGAUGUUUUAGCCCAAUACGUGUUUAUUUCUUUUCUCAAUGUCAGACGUUAAUUUGGAUUGGAUGACCUUAAUUCAAGACGUUAUAAUUCCAAAUUACUCAAAGUUUUCAAUAAUAUCUUUUUAUACUGGAAAUAAUCAGAAUACAAAGAGACAAGAAUUCUUAUAAUUUCCUUUGAAAAUUUGAUCACGCAACUGCGCUAUUGUGGUGUUCAUCUAGUUGUUGUAUCCUGGGAGACAAUCGUCCGAUGUUUCUCCAGCGCGAAAGGAGCGGUCGAAUCUGUCUUAAGGAGACUGUGUUCCACAGGCCUCAACUCUGAAUCGAUUUCGAACUUGUUUACAGUAAACAUUUUUUUUUAAAUAAUAUUUUACUUGUUAUUCCUGUUCUGAUCUUGUGAUUUAUUUGAUUUAAAUUAAUAUACUUAAAUAUUUUUUAUUACUGUGUGUUUGCUAACGAUUGUGCAACAACUGGUUUGGAUAAAAAGGUAUAAACAUGUUGAGAUUAAUUGUGGUAAUGUGUUGCUUGUUGAUACUAUUCGUAAUGGUUUUGCACCACUUAGCAACAUUCUUGAAGUUCGGUUGAUACAUGAAUGGUGUAACAAGGAUUGGAAGGUAAAAUUUAGGCAUAUUUUGCGAGAAAGUAACAAAAUAAUGGAUUUUUUGGCAAAGACGAUAAUGGAGAGCUAAACCAAUUAAUUCUCUUUGAAGAUCCACCGCAAUAUAUACUACGACUGCUUGAAGAGGAUGCCCAUAGUUCUUUGCAUGAAGAUGCCACUGUUUCUACUCAUUUCUAGGCUCUAGGAGUGUUUUAUCUUUUAAUUACCAAAAAGAAAAAAAAA